This is a long non-coding RNA of Equus asinus (donkey), 43970 nucleotides long. NCBI's taxonomy places the organism in Eukaryota, Metazoa, Chordata, Mammalia, Perissodactyla, Equidae. The record is from Ensembl.
CAGCGCUCCGUGGAGAGUGCGAGGGCCUGUUCAGGAGGAGGCAGAGGCAGCCUUCAGAGCCAGGUUUUCCUCCCUCCACGGGUGGAUGGAGAGGGUAGGGCAGAUGCCCCAGGUGGGGUAGGCAGUGGCCAUUUUCAUCCCAUGGCAUCCAUGUGGUCAGCCCUGUGGCCUGAUGGGAGGCCAGACCAGAAGAAUGGGGACCUCAGUGUCUGCCUCUAUCUCCCCAAAAAGCUCCUGUGGUCAUUCCGACUCAAUUUGGCUAAUUUGGUUGUUGGCAGAGGGACAGGACAGCUGGCUCAGGACCUGCUGAUUAUAGCUGCUCGAGUAUUUGAACAGAGGUAUUGAGUCCCUCAUGUCAUGGUUUUUUCUUGCAGAUAAACUAACCGUUUAACCUUUGUUCUGAGCGCCGGCGGACCCGCUGUUAAUUGCCCUGGCCCCCUCUGUCUCCACCAACCUGCCCCCCAGGGGGGAGGUCACAUGAGGACCCCCCCAACUCUUACCUUUGAUGAAAGUGUUCAGCGGAUCUGGUCCUGUUGCGUCAGCCGGAAGGUGGCUUCUUUCUAAAAAGUUAUUAGAUAAAUUCAUUUCUUUAAUGAUGGAAGUCCAGGCUUGGGUGCGUGCGCGCAUCGUCCGCAGUAGCAAUCAAUCGGACACACCCGCAGCCUUCCCCUGUUUUUCCCACAGGACUCCAUCCCAAGGUGCCUUUUCCCACGUUGCUGCAUUCGGGUGCCCCCGUGAUAUUUCUUUGUACUGUGUGCCAGGCACUGUUUUAGUUCUUUUAAUCCUUAUAUCAACAUGUGUGUUACUUUUAUUACCUCAUUUUUCAGAAGGGGAAGCUAAGGCCCAGGGACAAACCUCAAACCACUCUUGGGUCCGACCUCACAUCUCUAAUGGGGACUGACCAAGGCGGCCCCUCCUUCAGGCCUCAGGGCCAGCAGGUGAACCCUGGUCCUCAUGGUCCUCCAGCCUUUGCCCUCUGACUCCUGAGCUCUGGACAAGCCCCCGCUUCCUGCCAGAGCCUCAUUUUGCUUCUCCAGCAAAUGCACAUAGGAAUUCCUCUGAGUCUGGGGCCUGGGCCUCAGGUGCAACCGCAAGUGGAUCUCUUAGCUCCCUGAGCUCCGGCUCCACCAGCAAUUGUGAGUGGCAUCUUCCCAGGUGGUGGUCUGUCCUUCACCUGGGACCCCUGUCGUGAGGACUUCAGUAAUAUUUUGUCUUGCCCCUGGUGUCAAUCUGCACUUGCCCUUCCCUCGUUUAGCACACAGUAGGGCUGUUGGCAGCAGGUGAGGCCUGAGGCAACAGCUCGGUGGCCAACAGCCCCGUGAGCACUUUCUCUUCUCCCCUCCCAGGUGGCGUGGAGGUGCAUCGGCGGCUUCCUACCGGGAAGGAAGCAGAUGCCUGGCCCAGGAUCAAAUCAAAGGUCUGGAAAAUGAUCUUUUUUUUCCCCUGAUUUGUAAAUUCGACAAUUUGUAAAUGUGUAGACUCCUCAGAAUGGAACUAACUUGAGCCCUUCGUUCCCCAGCCGAGGCUCACUGCCCCCCGGAUGGGCAGUGAGUCGGUGGGUUCCUGAGGCCAGGGAGCAGCCCAGCCCUGCCCCUCGGGAUGACACACCUUCCCAGAGGGGUGUGGCGCCCUCCCAGGCUGACCUCCCAGCAGACCAGGUAGCCUUCCGGAGGAGCGGAUGUCUUCACGUUGAAUUACCCCAGCCCGGAGUGUCCCUGGCUCCCGUGUUGCCUGCUUCUGAUGUUCCCUAACUGAAACCUGCCUCAUGUUCCUCCCUGGGCCGAUGGGCAGUUUCAGAGGACAGAGCUGUCUGCUCUGCGGCGCUGGUUGGCGUGUUCCAAACACUGUCCAGAUUCUUGCCUCUGCUUUCAAGGGGCGCUGGGACUCUAGAAACUGAGAGGACUUUGAGAAGUUAGUGGCUUGUCCCAGAUCGGCUAGGAGGUGGGACCCGGGAUUCCAACCCAGAAUGAAGGCCCCAGAGUCGGUCUAAUAAUACUCUGUUGGUGAUGAUCUUGGCUGUGACCUCUGCGGGAAAUGAGCCAUGGACCAAGCAGUGUGAGUGAUGGUUAGUGUUGUUUUAAGGUUGGCUGGUGGGUUGAUGGGUGUGUAUGCAUUAUUAAACGUGAAUGCACACAGGUAAAGUCAAAGAUGGCCAAGCGUAGACCAAUGGGGAGACUGUGUCAUGAACCAGGGGGGUGAAUCUCCUUUGGCAUAACUGUCAGCAAAUUAAAAAAUAUUAUAACUAGGCCGUUCUUUUUGUAGGAAAUGAGCAAAUAAAAAGAAACAAUUAUAUUCAUGUUUAAUGAUAUUAAUUGUAUAUAUAUGUAUACAUUUAUAUUCAUAAAUUUUUAACAUAUAUCUGUUUAUAUAAAUGUAAUUGUUACUUAUUCUUGGGUUGAGUGGUAGGUUCAUGUAUCUUUAUUGAUUUAUUAAAAAUAAAUGGAUGAGUACAUAAAUAAAAUCAAAAAGGUCAAGCGUGGACUAAGGAAGACAGUGACCCAAGAUGUAUGAAUGCACAAUUCUGCAAAUUUGAGCGAGAUUUAAACAAAAAUAUCUGUUAUUUUAUUUAUUUUAGUAGCAUUCUAUAUUAAUUUAUACACUAUGGUUUAUAUAAACACUUCCUCAUUGGUGAAGUUUAGGCUAUUAACUCAAGGGGAAAGGUGCAUGUAGAGAUGUAAGGUAUUGGUAACUUUCUAUUUGUUGGAUAAGAUUCAUGGGUAUUCUUUUAUGGUGUUUUUAAAGGGAUGAAUAAAAUUUAAAAAGGCCAAGCAUGCACCAAUGAGGAUAAUGUUUCAUAAACUAAGGAUGAUUAAUUCAAUUAUACACAAGUGAUAGCUGUUAAAAAUGAUAUUCAUUUUUAAACAGUUGCUUUCUGUUGCACAACAUGGACACACUAGAGUUUAUUGACUCACACAAUAUUUAUGGGGAUUUUAGCUCUUAUUUGGGCGGAUAAAGUAUGUAAAGAAAAUGUAAGUAAUGGUCAAGGUACUUAAAUUUUUGGCUGGUAAGUUGUUCAAGACAAGGAAAUAAGCAAGUAAAUGAAUGAAUGAAUAAAUUAACAAAUAAAACAAGAGAGGGCAGACAUGGGCCAUGAAGAUAUUAUCUCAUUAUCCCAGAAUUAAGGUUAUUCUAAUUCUGUACAUCCAAGGUCCAUUUAAAAAAUGUGUUGGUUGAGGAGUAAAGAGUCAAUAUUCUUGUUUUUGCAUGGUGGUGUGUUGGAUGUCGAUUUCCAUCCUAAAAAUAAAUAAUUAUAUAAAUGUAUAAAAUGCAACAGAUAUCGAAAUAUCAGCUGGUGAUGAGAGUGGCCCAAGGAUUAAAGGAUUACAGUUACGUCAGUUCUGUGUUCUUGACUUCUAUAAAAAUAAUCUAGCCUGCUUCAUUCCUUUUCCCAGCUGUUUUGUUUUGCAUUGUGUAUAUGUACAGAGUUUCCUUAAGCAUUCCUCUGUGGAUAAAGACCUAGUCUAUUAAUUCUUUGAGCAAGGAGCACAAAGGAAGGUGAGAGAGAAAAUGUCAGUGUUCUACUUGUGGAGUAAGAGAUUGGAUUCAUGAUUGCUCACUAAAAACUUCUUUAGAGAUGAUCAAAUCAAAGAAAAGAGAAUCAGUAUGGACCAAAUGAUCAAUAAUUAUGAUUAAUCCAAUUUAGCUUCAUUAGGAAAAGUUCUAGACAAUUACCUGAGGGUAAAGGGUCUAUGCUAGAGCUGUCCAGUAGAACUUUUUGCCGUGAUGGACGUGUUCUAUAAUUUGUUCUGUCCAAUAUAGCAGCCACUAGCUAUGUGUGACUAUGAGCACUUGAAAUGUGGCUAAUGUGAAUGAAUAACUGAAUUUUUAAUUUUAGUUGAUUUUUAUUAAUUUGUGUUUAAAUAGUCAUGUGUGGCUAAUCUCUCAGGUGCAUUGAGUGGUUGGUUAAUGGGAGUUUCUUGAAUAUUAAAUAUGAAUAAAUAAAUAGAUGAAUUAAUAGAGUUAGUUAUGGGCCAGAGAGGAGGGUGUACCAUGAAAAAAGAUUGUAAUUAAUCCAGUUCUGCACAGCUGAGAUUCCCUGGCAAAAAAGUCAUGAAAGUUCAUGAAAAAUAGACAUAGGCUUAUUCACCUAUUUCAUCAACUAUUCAGUGUUACCUUGAAUGUCUGCCCCACAGUUUAUGUGAACAUUUCUCUAAUGUUGAAGAUCUAUGUAUCUGGGUGGGAAACGGUCAAAAAUCUAUUGUCAAAGUUGUAAUUGAUGGGUUGAAUAAUGGUUUUAUAUAUAUUUAUUAUAUUAUUUACUUCAAAAAAUGAAUAAUAAAUAAUAAGAGUCCAUGCAUGGUGCAAGGAUGGUAACGUGACAUGGAACGAAGUUUGUGAUUAAUACAAGUCAUCACAAACUGUGGUCCAUAAAUAAAAGGUCUCUUUUACAUUUGUUGGUGAGGAACAUAUGGCAGAUGUAAGUAAUUGUCAAUGUAUGUAAAGAGGACUAAACAUGGACCAGUGAUGAAAGUGUAUCGUGACCCAAAUAUUUAUGUUAAUACGUUUCUGCUCAACUGAAGUCCAUUAUAUAAAGGUCUUUGCUUCUCCAUUUGUGGAUAAAAAUUACAAAGGUUGUCUACCUUUCUAUCUAUCAUCUAUGACUUAUAUCUCUAUAUAUUAUAUAUGGAUAUAAAUAAUAGUUUUUCUUGGGUUUGAUGGUACAUUCAUGGUGAUUUCAUUGAUGAUAUUAUAAAAAUCAAUAAAUGAAUGAAUUCCUAAAAAUAAAGGGCAGGACAUGUAUGCAUUAGUCACUGCUGUGACAAUGCUGCAUAACAAGUAACCCACAAUUUCAGUGGCUGACAAAGUAGUAGCAACAACAACAUUUCUUUCUCACAUGUGGGUCGGUGGGCCUCUUGCAGCAGUUAUGCUGCAGGCUGUGGGCUGGGUUUGCAUCUGCACGCCCCCCCUACCCCCCUGCCUUCUUAUUCUAGGUCCCUAGAUAAAGGAGUUGUAGUGUCUAGGACAUACUCUUCUUAUGGUGAAGGCUUGACGCUCCAGAGGCUAAGCAAAACCACCCAAGCUCGUUUAAAGCCUCUGCUCUAAGUCCCAUGUGGUUUGUCACAUCCACUCAUACUCCAUUGGGCAAUGCAAGUCAUGGCCAGGCACAACAUACUGGUGUCGGGAAGGAUAUUCUUCCCAUGGGGGAGAGGGAAGGGAGAGGGAAUACCUGCUGAAAAACAGCAUAACCUGCCACAUUUCCCCCAAUUGGUAAGAAAUAUUUACUUCAUGUCCAUACGAGAAAUACAGUUAUUCUCUCUUCAAAACGUCCCGGAAGUCCAUAAAACCAGUGCUCCAGUUCAAAGUCCAGAGCAUCCUGAUCCGCUGCUGGUUUGGCUCUGCCUCUUCUUUAUUUAGAGACUUGUAAACUAGAGACAGGUUAUCUGUCCCCACAUGGUAAACAUGCUGUGUUGGAACCACUCCUGCUUGCAAAGGGAGAGAACAGGAGGCACAGAGCUGUCCACUGCAUCGCAGCUCUGGAACCCUGAUCGGCAGGGGCUGUGCGAUCUCCCUACCUGUGGCUGUCACCUGCAGGGGAAGGAGAAGAAAGACAGAUGUUGGUACUGGUCAUCAUUCUUAUUCUUACUUUAGGUGAGCAAUUCAAUGGCAUUCAUUGAAAUUAUAAUUGAGAAUUGUUAAUUGAUUAGAUCAGUAAAAAAUGGAGUAUUGUUUGUGGGUCAAUGGUGAGAAGGAGGGUCAAGCAUGGACCAAGGUUGAGAAUGUGGCACAAGCCAAGUGUUAUGGUUAAUCCAGUAUUUAACAACUGACGUUUAUUUAAAAAAUUUAAUAUCUUUCAGUCUUUUUCACAUCUGCUUUCUGUUCUGCAGGAUGAAUGCUCUAGAGCUGAUUAGCCAUUUUAUAAUGAUGAAUGGCUUCCCUCUGUGGGUAAGGAGCAUGGAGGCUGAUGUGAGUGACAGAGUUCUUGUUCUUGGUUUGGAUCCUUUGCUCAUGGAUGUUGACUGUAUAACCAAGAAACCAAUGGCUCCAUAUUUUGAUAAUAUCACAGGAGGCCAUGUGUGAACCAGCGAUGAGAGUGAUACGAACCAAGGAUUACGAUGAAUCCAAUUCAACACAACUUAAUCCUAUUAAAAAUACACUAUGGCCAUUUUAUUUAUGUUAUUCGCAUUUUAAUGUUCCAUAUUAAUUUUAUACCACUCUUGAUUUAAACAUUCCUCCAUUGAUAAAGAUUUAUGCUUGAGAGGGUAGCCCAUAGGAAGAUGGACAGAUAUUCUCAAUGUUCUAUUGUGGGAGAAGAUGGUGGGUUCAUAGUGGUUCAUUGAAUCAUCUUUGAAAUAUAGACGAAUUAAAAGAAAGAGGGCUAAGAACAGGCCAGUGAUGAGUGUGCGAGUGCUAUGGAGCAAGACUGUUGAUUGACUCAUGUUAUUGAUCAUUACAGAAAGACAUCUAGUGUAUUAUUUCUGUGGGAAAUUAUGCACAUGUGUUGUCCAGUACAGUGGCAACUAGCCACAGGUAGCUACUGUGCAUCUGGAAUGUGGCUGGUCUGAAUUGAUAUGUGAUCUAUGUGGAAAAUACACACCAAAUUUGGAAGAGUCAGAACAAAAAAUAAAAUAUUUCGUUAAUAGUUUAUAUUUAUUACAUGUUGAAAUGGAUAGUAUUUUAGAUAUAUUGGGUUAAAUAAAAUAUACAAUUGUAAUUGAUUUCACCUGUUUCUUUUUACUUUUAAAAAGUGUAGAUUCUAGAAAACUUAAAGUAUAUGAGUGGUGGGGCCGGCCCCAUGGUGUAGUGGUUAAGUUCAGUGUGCUCUGCUUCAGUGGCCCAAGAUGUGGGUUCAGAUCCUGGGUGCAGACUUACAUCACUUGCCAGCCAUGCUGUGGCGGUGACCCACAUAUAAAGUGGAGGAAGAUUGGCACAGAUGUUAGUUCAGGGCUAAUCUUCCUCAGCCAAAAAAAAAAAUAUAUAUAGAUAGAUAGAUAUCUAUCUAUCUAUCUAUAUAUAUAAGUGGCUUACAUUAUAUUUUUAUUGGCCAGCACAGCUAUAGACCAAUGAUAGGAAUAGUCAAGGAUCUUUUCCUUUGUGUUUUUCUGACCUAUGGGUGUUGAUAGCAUUUUUAUUAGCCAAUUAAUGGAUCAAUCAAUUAAAAGGGAAUGAAUAGGAAAAAGCAUACACUAAAUAUUAAGGUAUAUAUUGAAACAAGGAUUACUUUAAACAUUUUUUGAAACCUUGAAACCUGUAAAAAUAAUUUAAAGUGGUUAAUCCCUUUGGGUAAUGAACAUAUGAACAGAUGUGUGUAGUAAUCAAUGCUGUUGGUGUGUCGCUAGUCUUUUUUUCUUUUUUAAGAAAAUAAUCCACAUGGACAAAUCUCUAAUUAAAUAACUAAAUAGAAAAGAGUCAAGGAUGGCAAGUGCUGGGUGAGGACAGCAUAGAGGGCAAAGCUGUUGGUUGAUGCCUAUGGGCACCACUGAAAUCCACUGCAAACACUAUUAGUCUCAGUUCUGGGGAAAAUGAGCCUGUAGCCAGGGGUUAGGAACAUGAUGGGGUCCUAAUUGAGGCAUUUGAGGCUCAUGAAUUUUGAUUACCUUGUUGUGUAAAUGAAUCAAUGCAUAAAUUAAACAAAUGUAUAAAUGAAUGAAAAAAACAAAGGCAAGUGUGGACCAAUGAUAAGUGUAUAUAAUGAAGCAAGAAUUAUUAUUAAUAUGUUUUUGAAGCAAUGAAGUCCAUUUAAAAAAAAGGGCACUGAUGUCAAUUUCUAAGAAAGGGCAGAUUCUUAGAUAUUCUCAUAAUAGAUGUUUACGUAAAUAGGAAAAUUGAGGAGGACCAAUGUUAACAUUGUGUGAGAUGAUAAGAAUUAUAAUUAAUCCAGUUUAUUCCUUGAGUUCGUUAAACAGCAACAAAUAUCUAGUUGGUUAUCUCUGUAGAUAAUGAACAGGUUGACAGAUGUUAGUUUUAUUUAGAGUUUUUGACCAUUUGCUUCGGAUUCCAAGCUACAGAUUGUCAGGGAAUGAAUGAAUAAAUUUAUGUCACAGUCCGUUAGUUAAAAGGGGGCAAAUCAGUGACCAUCUGAUGAACAUAAGUUACAAAGCAAGUAUUAGGAUAAGUUCAGUCUUCGUUGCUGAUGUCCAUGAAGAGGACAUAAAGUCUAGGCUCCAACCUAUUUGUUUAAAGUUCACAGGUAGAUUCGUGUUAAGUUUUUGCGGAUAGUAGAUUUACUUUUUUUUUUGCCAAGGAAGAUUUGCCCUGAGCUAACAUCUUGCUAAUCUUCCUCUGUUUUGUAUGUGGGGUGCUGCCACAGCAUGGCUGCUGAUGGUCGUAUGGGUCUGCACCCGAGAUCUGAACCCAGGCUGCUGAAGCAGAGUGCACCAAACUUAACUACCCUGUGAGGCUGGCCCCUGGAUUUACUCUCGUUAAUUAUCUUCUAAGCAAUAGAUACAGGAUUAAAUUAAUUUGUAACUAAUCAAAUUAAAUAAUAAAUAAGCACAUAGAUAAAUACAUAAAGAGAGUCAAGAAUGAACACUGGAAAAAUGUGCCGUGAAACAAUUUUAGAUUAAUCCAACUUGGAACAAGUGAGGUCCAUCAAAGAAGGAAAAGAUGAAAGAAGGUACUUUAUUCAUUUUACAGUUGUUUAAUAUUUCGUUUUUCACCGCUGCUGAUUUACACAUUCCACCAGUGAUAAAGAUGUAGAUUUCUCACCUGUUGAGAGAGAAAACACAAGGAAAGAUGGAAGAUAGGGAAGUAAAUGAGACGUUCCUGGAUUUUCUUUGUUACGUGUUUAAAAUUUGAACAAAUUAAAGAAAGACUAAAGAACAGGGCCAAGCAUGGCUAUAAUGAGUGCGGGUUUGGAUAAAGAAUGUUGGCUGAUCCAUGUGUGCAGCAGUGAGGUCCACUGCGGUAAGAGGUCUCAUGUAUUCGUUCUGGGAGAAAUUUGCCAAAAGUCGGAAGUUAGUAAUAUUCUUGUAUCUUAUUCUUGCUUUGUUGUGAUUAAUGGAUAUUAAGUAAUUAUUAGUCAAUUAAUGCAUGAACUAAUGCACAAAUGUGUAAGUGAAUAAAGAAAAAAGUCCCAAGCCUGGAUCAAUGAUGAGUACCCUGGGGUGUCUGAACCAAGGAUUUUGAUUAAAAUCUGUAACUCUGACGUCCACUCUAAAAAUGAAUCUAAUUUCCUACCUUAAUGGGGCAUGAGCUUGUAGCUCCAGUUAGGAAUGCAGGCAUCUUGCUUUUGGCUUUGGUAGAUCUUAGGUAUGGAUCCUUUUAUUAGUGAACUAGGGCAUGAGUUAACAAGGAAACCUAUCAGUGAAUGCAGACAAAGCGGCCUGGAUAAGCUCUAAUUAUGAGAGUACGUAAUGAGAUAGGAAUUGUUAUUAGCACAGUGCUGAGGAGCCGAGGUCCAGUAUGCGAAGAGUGCAAGGCUUUUUCUGUGUCGAUUAGGAACGUGUGGGCAGAUGUAGGUAAGAGUCAGUGUUGUUUCUCGGUUGAUGGUUGUUAACUGUAUUAAGAAUUUUAUUAAGAAAAGGGGAAAAAGGAGAAACAUAACAAUCAAUUACAGAACUACCUAAUUAAAGACCAAGCAUGGGCCAAUGUUAAGAAUGCGUUAUAUGAGAGGAGUUACGAUUAAAUAAGUGCUCCUCAGUUAGCAUCGUUUUUGAAAAACACAUCUAGUUGUUUUUCUGUGGGCAUUGAGUUUAUGGGCAGAAGUUAGUGUUAUUUAGGACUCUUGCCCAGGGUAUGCUGGUUCACGAAUAUCGAUGAAGUGAAUGAAGGAAGUGAUUAUUUAAAGGAGGACAAACAUGGACCACUGAGGAUAGACUAUGUUGUUAAAAAAAGUUUAUUAAUCUCACUCUGCUCUUCUGAUGUCCAUAUAAAUAAAGGGGGACUGGGAUUCUGUGUGCUCUGGGUGAAGUGCAUCGAGACAGUUCCCUGUAGUUGUAUUUUAGACCAGUUUGCGUUUGAUUUGAAAAGAAUGAAAAUAUGAACAAGUUAUUGCAUGAGUAGAUAAAUACAAAACAAAUGAAAAAAUUUGUAAAGUAGGGUCAAGCAUGGAUCAUUGGUGAGACUAUGUCAAGACAGAAGGAUGUCAAUUUAUCCAAUUCUAAUCAAGGAAGACCCAUAAAGAAGAUGAUCUGGGCUCUUACCGCUGGAAGGUUUAAUGGACAGUUGGAACAGGCGUACUUCUCAGUUCCUCUGCUAGCAUGUAUAUCCAGCAACUGUCAUCAUAUCACAUUAAUUAACAUACAUUAACAUACAUUAAUAAUUAAAAUAAGUAAAAAGGGGACCAUUCUUAGGCUAAUGGAAUGGGAUGAAAACAGGGGUUUAUGAUAAAUCUGGUACAGCAGGACUAAGGUCUCUUAAAAAAAACUAAAUCUACACUGCUUUUUCAAUUUUCUAAAAUCUACUUUUUACUCCACAGAUUCAAUAUACCCAAUCUGAUUUAUUCGUUAUCCAGUGAUGAAGAUCUUGGCUGUCACUUCUGUGGAUAAGGAGCAGAGGAACUCAUGUAAGGAACAAAGUUCGUGUUCCUGGUGUGCAGUGCGUUUUCCCCAAGUGAACACCACAGAUGAUUUAGUCAUUCUCUGAUGCUAAAGCUCCUGGCUUUUACAAAACCUGUGGGUAAGGAGACAAGAGACUGAUGUAAGUGAUGGUUAAUGUUCUUGCUUGGGAGGUUGGUUUAUGGGUGCUGCUUUCAUUUUUCAAAGUAAUAAAUGGGUAUGUUAAUAAAUAAACCAAAUAACACCAGCACAGACCAGAAUUGAGAUUUAUGAUUAAUCUGAUUAGUACUACUAAAAUCCAAUAAAAAAGACUCCGAGUGUUUCAUUUAUUUUCAGGGCUGCUUCACAUUGUGUUUUAUUUUUCAUUGCACUUCAUUUAAGUACCUCUCCACUGAUAAAGAUUUAGGCAGUUAAUUCCUUGAGGGAGGAGCAGAGAGGAAGAUGGACAAUAUUGUUGGUGUUCUAGUUGUGGAGUAAGAUUAUAGGUCCCUUUGCUAUUUAUUGAACCAUCUUUAAAUGAAAAAAGGACCAAGCGGGGACCAAUGGAACUGACAUGAAACAAGGAUGAUGAUUAAUUUAUAUAUGUCAAAAGCACAUAUAUAUGUUGCAAAAAGCAGCUUCAUCUGUUAGCACUUUGGGAAACGGGCAUACAGACAGUUAUUAGUGAUCGUCAAGGAUGUUGUUCUUGGGCUUUUUGAUUCAUGAGAAUUGAUUAUAUUAUUAUUAGUGAAUCAAUGAAUAAAGGAAUAAACAAUGCAUAAAUAAAGGAAGAAAAAGAUGUCUAGUGUCAAUGAGUCAUGUCAAUGAGUGUUCCCAAAAGUAUAAAUCAAAGAUUUUGAUUAAACUCUGUAACUUUGAGGUUCAUUAGAGAAAAGAAAUCUAAUUAUUUCCUCUGUCGGGGAGGGGCUUGCAGCAGAAGUUAGGAGGAGUGGAAGAUCUGCUUCUCGAGCUUUGGUUCUUAAUGUCUGAAAUGUAUCGUAAGUGGAGCAAUGAAAGAAUGAAUAAAGAUGUGUAAAUGAAUGAUGGCCAAUUAAUUUGAGUCUGCACUGAAAUAAGGAUGAUUGUUAUAUUAUUUCCUGAACCAGAGUUCCAUAAGCUAAACAGGUCAGGUCUUCCUUACUGUCUUCCAUAAAGGAUCUAACUAUUGUGUGAGAGUCCAUAUUGUUGUUUUGGAUUCGUGGUUGGUAUGUGGUUGUUGGUUUUAUUUAGAAAAGGAACAAAUUAUUUACAUUAAAAGUAAUUGUUUAAGCAAGUGCCUAAUUGAAAGAAGGCCAAGCAUGGACUAACAUUGAGAACAUGAUGGGAAGUAUGCACACACAGUUCUCUUCACUGACUAUUGCUUAAAAAAGCAAAAAAGAAUCUAGCAGGUUCUGUCUGUGGGUAGUCAGCAUGUAGACAGAUAUUGGUAUCAGUCCAUGUUCUUGUCCAGUGUCUUGGCUGGCAUUCGUUUUGAAUGUAUUGUUAAAAAUGAGUGAACGAGUGAGUUCAUAUUUUGGCCAAUUAUUUAAAAGAUGGAAGAGCGUGGGUCAGUGAGGAGAUGUCAUGAAAGAACAAGAUAAUGAUUAAAUCAUUUUAGACGAAGAAAAAGAAAUCUAGACUUACCCCACUUUAGACAAGGUAUGUAUCAGCAGCUACAUGAAAUGGUAUUUCAAUUCUGGAUUACUGGUGGGUUUUACUCUUUUUCUCUUAAAAAUGAAUAAAUGAUCAAAUUAUUCUUUGAGUAAUUAAAUAAGAGGAUAACAUGAAUGAGUCAGUAAAUGUACAGAUUAGGGUAAAUUUUGGACCAGUGCUUCAUGGCACACUCUAAGCAGUUCACGACUAUGGCCCCUUAAAAAAGAUUAAUGAGGUGUGAACUAUGUGGUUAGGGGCUACGUAGAUGGAUAGUGGUACUGCUUACAUUUAUUACUCUUGGUGGAUUUAACAGUGUUCACUGCAUUAACUAAAAAUUAAUGGGCCAGCCCUGAUGGCCUAGCGGUUAGAGUUCAGCGCUCACUGCUUUGGCAGCCUGGGUUCCUUUCCUGGUCCCGGAACCACACCACCCGUCUGUCAGUUUCCAUGGUGUGGCAGCAGCUCACACGGAAGAACUAGAAGGAUUUACCACUAGGAUAUACAGCCAUGCACUUGGGCUUUGGGGAGAAAAAAAGAAGAGGAAGACUGGCAACAGAUGUUAGCGCGGGGUGAAUUUUUCCCUGCAGGACAAAAAAAAAAAAAAAAAAAAAAUUCAACACUAAAUAGUCAAUACAUAGAAAGCAGUCAUUCUUGAGUCAGUAAUGGGAACAUGAUAGGAAACAAAGUUUAUGAUUAAUCUAGUACUUCAUGACUCCAGUCCAUUAAAAAAAAAAGGUAUCUAGGCUGUUUGAUUCUUUAUAAGAUGUGCAUUUUAUUUCACAGAAUGAAAACAUCAGAGCUGGAUUUAGUUAUUCAAUAGUGAUAAAGAUUUUAGCUUUUACCCCCGUGGUCGAGGAGCCUAGAGGCUGUAGUAGAUACUGGUCAAAAUUCACGUCCUUGGUUUAGGUAGUUUGUUCAUCACCACAUUAUGCGAAAGGAAUAAGUGCUAAAUACAUAGAUAAAAUCAUGUAUUUAACAUCAAAAUAUUGGCCAUGCAGGGACCAAUAAUGGAAAUUAACCAAAGUUGACGGUUAAUUCAAUUCAGUGCAAUGGAGGUCAAUUAAAAAUGAUGGAGGGCUUUUAUUCAUUUUCAGAGUUUUUAAUAUAUUUUAUUUUGUACCAUGGUUAACUUAAACAUUUCUUCAAUGAUAAAGAUCUAGGCCGUUAAAUCCUCGAGAAGGGAGCAGAUAGGAACAAGGAAGAUAGUGUCAGUGUCCUCAUUGUGAGAUAGGACAGUGGUUGGUUGAUCAUUGUUUUGCAUCUGUUGUCUACUGCUCUGUAACAAAUUACCCUACAUUUUGAUGGCUUAAAACAAUAGGAAGCAUUUAUCUGUCACAGUUUCUAUGGGGCAGGAAUCCAGGAGAGGCUUAGUGGGCCAUUUUGGCUUAGGGGCUCUUGUGAGGUUGUACUCAAGAUGUCAGGUAGAAUUGCAGUCAUCUGAAAGCUUGACUGGGGCUGGAGGGUCUGCUUCCAUGGCUCCCUCACAGGGGUGGAGGGUUUGUGCCGCUUAUUGGUGGUGGGCCACAGUUUCUUCCUACAUGGACCUCUCCUCAGGACUGCUCAAGUGUCGUCACAGCAUGACCGCUGACUUCCCUUAGAGCAAUCAGUCCAAGAGAGAGGAAUGAGGAAGUCUCAGAGUGUUUAUAAGCUAGACUCGGAGGUCGUGCACCAUCACUGCUGCAGUAUUCUGUUGGUCAUAGAGGCCAGGCAUGGUUUAACACGGACCAUGGAUACCAGGAGUCUUGAUUCGUUGGGAGCCCUCUUGGAGGCUAGCUACCACACAUACUGUCUUUAAACAUGGAGAAAUUAAAUAAAAGAAGGGCAAGCACGGACAAAGUAUAAAUAUAGGAUUGAUGCGAAGUGAGGAGGUUGAAAAUCUGUAUGUAUAGUGCUGAGAGCCAUUGCAAAAAAGAUGUAGUCUCUUAGUUUUAUGGAAAACAAACCUAUAGACACAGCUUAGUAAGGUUGUAGGAUAUUGUUUUAGGUCUUUUUUUCUCUUUUUAGUGAGGAAGAUUGUCCUUGAGCUGACAUCUGUGCCAGUCUUCCUCUAUUUUAUAUGUGGGACACCGCCACAGUAUGGCUUGAUGAGCCAUGUGUAGGUCUGUGCCCAGGAUCCGAACCUGUGAACCCCGGGCUGCUGAAGUGGAGCAUGCAAACUUAGCCACUACGCCACCAGGCUGGCCCCUAGUUUUAGGUUUUUUGAUUCGUGUAUAUUGACUUUAUAAUUAUUAGUGACUUAACGAGGGAAUCAAUAAAUGAAGAUAUGAAGGAAUGAAGAAAAGGGUGCCAUGUUUGGACCAAUAAUGAAUAUCCUAGGGUGUCUAAACAAUGAUUUUGAUUAAACUCUACAACUGUGAGGUCAGAGACCUCGGUAAUGCCUAAAUGGUGAAUGAGUUUACAGCAGAAGUUAGUAAUACUCAGGGUUUUGCUCUUAGGCCAUUAAAGUUCAUAGGUCUGGAUUGUAUUACUAUAAGUGAACUCAUAAAUGAAUGAAUAAACAAAUAGAUAAAUUAAGACAAGGAGAGCCAUAUGUGGCCCAAUUAUGAGAGUGUGUAAUGUGUUUAUUAUCAUUAAUACAUUUCCUAAGCACUCAGUUCCAACGUAAAUUGAUUAAAUCUGAUAGCUAUUUGGGUAAGGAGCGUAGAGAGAUAAGUACCUAGAAAUCCAUGUUGUUGUUGUUCUGCACGGUUGGGGAAGUGCUGGUUGCUUAUUGAAAACAAGAAGAUAUGACCCAGUUGCUUAUAUCUGGGAAUAAUGAGCACAUGAAUCACUGUUAAUACCAUUCAGAUUUCUCAUCCAGUGUGUAUGUUCACAGAUAUUGAUGAUAUUAUGAGUGAAUGCAUAAGUACCUUUAUCUCUCAACCAGUUAUUUUGGAAAGGGUGGAGCAGGAUUUCUCAACCUCAUACUAUUGACAUCCCAGGCUUGAUAAUUCCUGGUUGUGGCAGGCUGUCCUGUAUGUUGUAGGAUGUGUAGUAACUUCACUGCCUCUACUCACUAGAUACCAAAGUUGACUUUCUUCUCCCAGUUGUGACAAUCAAAAAUGUCUCCAGACAUUGACAAAUAUCACCUGGGAGCAACAGUGCACCCAUUGAGAACCACUGGGGUAAAGCGUGGACCAAUGAGGAGCAUGUGUUGAAAAAACAAUGUGAAUUAUUUGUCCUGUUGUACUUAUUGAUACUCAGAUAAAGAAACAGACACAUAAACUAGACCCCUCCCACUUUGGGUCAGGUUCGUAUGUAUAGUUGCAUUUAAUUGUAUUGUAAUUUAGCUGUUGAUGGUUUGGUCAUAUUGUGUUUUCUCUGGAAAAAUAAACUGAUGUUCAAAUUAUUCAAAUUAGCUCAUGUACAAAAAUGAAUAAAUAAAGCAAUGAAUGAAUAAAUACAUUACAGAAGGUAGGGUCUAGGAUGGACUGUUGGUGAAAAUGUGCCAGGAAAGUAGUAUUUAAAUGUAUCCAGUCCUGCACAAGUGACAUUCAUUAUUAGGAAAAAUGUUCUAGGUUCUUACCAUGUGGGUAGAGAGUACGUAGAGGGAUACUUACAAUAGUCAUCUCUUAUUCUUGUGUUGGGUUAGUAAAUAACAUGCCAGACCAUUCUUGGACCAUUGAUUGAAAUGUGACAUGAAUCAAGGUUUAUGAUUAAUCUAGUACAGGCCUACUAAUACCCCUUAGAAAAUUUAAAUGUAGACUCUUAUAUACUUUUUAAAGUCUGCUUUUAUUCCACACAACGGGUACACCAUACCCAACUUAAUUAUUCUCCAUUGAUGAAAAUCUUGGCUGUCCUUUCUGUGGGUAAAAAGUAUGGGAACAGAUCUAAGUAACAGUCAAAGUUCAUGUUCUUGAUUUGGGGGGUUUGUUCAUGGGUUUUAUUAUUUCAGAGAAAUAAAUAUUUUUUUUAAAUACAUAUUUAAAGAAAAUAAAAAACAUGCAUUGACCAAUGAUAGGAAUGUAUUAUGAAAAACAAAAACAAAAUUAGGUUAUUCCAAUUCAACACAAGUGAGACUGUUUAAAAAAUUAAGAUGGAGGACAUUGCCUUCACUUCACUAUUCCAUUUUGUUUUUGCACCAUAGCUAAUUUAAAUUUUCUCAAGUGACCUAGGCUGUUGACUCUUUAAGGGGAGCACAUAAGAUGGUUGAUAUUGUCAGUGUUUUUGUUGUGGGGUAGGAUGAGGGGGUUCCUGCUCAUUUAUUGUUCCAUAGUUAAAAUACGUCUAAAUUAAACAGAAAGGAGCAAGCAUGGUUCAGCAAUGAGUACAAGAUUUCUAAGAAGCAAGGAAGUUAAUAAUCCAUGUAUGGGACAUUGAGAUUCAUCUGUUGAUCUUAGCAAUGUCAAGGUUCUUAUUGUUGAGAUUUUGGGAUUUUUGUGUGUUGAUUUUGUGAUUAUUAAUGAAUCAGUGAAUGAAUCAAUAAAACAAGGUUCAAAUGGUUGAAGUAAAAGAGUUGCAAACCCAGACCAAUAAUGAGUGUCCUGGGAUGGCUGAGUCAAGAAUUUUGAUUAAGCCCUAUACCUCUGAGAUACAUUAGAAAAAGAAAAUUAUUAUCUCUGUGGGAAAUGAGCGUAUAGGAAAAGUUAGGAAAAUUCAGAUCUUGUUCUUGGUCUGUUGAGGUUCUUGAGUAUAGAUUAUAUUUUUGUGAGUAAAUCAAUGCGUGAAUAAAAGAAUCAAAUAUGUAAAUGGAUAAAGACAAGGAGGGCCUUGAUUGGGCCAAGCUUAUGAGAGUAUAUAAUGAACUAAGGAACAGGACUAAUACCAUUUGGAUGUGCUGAAUUCCCCUAAAAUAAAUAGAUUAAGGCUCUUAUGCUUUUGGGUAAGGAACAUUAGAGGACAACUGUACGUAGGAGUCAGUGUUACUGUUGAUGGGUAACAGGUUUUUUAAAAUGUUGCCUCCUUUUGCAAAAGACUUCGUUAUUUUAGAGCAGUUUUAGGUGCAAAAUUUAGUGGAAUGUAGAGAUUUCCUGUAGUCUCUGCCUCCACACAUGCAUAGCCUCCCCCACUAUCAACAUCCCCCACAGGAGUGAUACAUUUCUUAAAACUGAUGAACCGACAUUGACAUCAUUAUCACUCAGAGUCCAUAAUUUACAUCAGGGUCCACUCUUGGUUGUAUAUUCAGUAGUUUUGGAUAAAUGUAUAAUGAUAUGUGUCCACCAUUAUAAUUUCAUACAGAAUAUUUCUCUGCCCUAAAAUUCCUCUGUGCUCUGCCUAUUUAUGCCUCUCUAACCUCUGGCAACUACUUUUACUGUCAUCAUAGUUUUGCCUUUUCCAGAAUCUCAUAUAGUUGGAAUCCUAGAGUUUGUAGCCUUUUCAUAUUGUCCUCUUUUACUUAGUAAUAUGCGUUUAGGUUCCUUCAUAUCUUUUCAUGGCUCCAUAGCUCAUUUCUUUGUAGUGCUAAAUAAUCUUCCAUUGUCUGGGUGGCCCACAGUUUAUUUAUUCAUUCACCUACUGAAGGACGUCUUGGUUGCUUCCAAGUUUUGGCAAUUAUGAAUGAAGCUGCUAUAAUUAUCCUUGUGCAGGUUUUUGUGUGGACGUAAGUUUUCAGCUCCUUUGAGUAAAUACCAAGGAGUGCAAUUCCUGCCUUGUAUGGUAAGAGUAUGUUUAAUUUUGCAGAAAACUGGCACAUUGUCUUCCAUUCCCACCAGCAAUGAAUGAGAGUUCCUGUCGCUCCACAUGCUCUCCAGCAUUUGGUGUUAUGAGUGUUCUGGAUUUUGGACAUUCUGAUAACUAUGUAGUGGUGUCUCGUUGUUUUAAUUUGUGUUUCCCAAAUGACAGAGGAUGUGGAGCAUCUUUUCAUGUGCUUAUUUGCCAUCUGUAUAUCUUCUUUGGUGAGGAGUCUGUUAAGGUCUUUGGCUCAUUUUUUAAUUGGGUUGUUUGUUUUCUUAUUGUUUAUUUUUAAGAGUUCUUUGUAUGUUUUGAAUAACAGUCCUUUAUCAGAUAUGUCUUUUGCAAAUAUUUUCUCCUAGUCUGUGCCUUGUUUUUUGUUCCCUUGACAGUUUCUUCAAAGAGCAGAAACUUAAUUUUAAUGAAUUCCAGCUCACCAAUUAUUUCUCUUACAUAUUGUCUUUUGUGAUGUAUAUAAAAAGUCAUUGCCAAACCCAGGGUCAUCUAGAUUUUCUCCUUUGUUAUCUUCUAGGAGGUUUAUAGUUUUACAUUUUACAUUUCAGUCUGUGAUCCAUUUUGAGUUAAUUUUUGUGAAGUGUAUAAGGCCUGUGUCUAGAUUCCUUUUUUUUUAUGUGGAUGUCCAGUUAUUCCAGCAUCAUUUGUUGAAAAGACUGUCUUUGCUCCAUUGUGUUGCCUUUGAUCCUUUAUCAAAGAUCAGUUGACUGUCUUUAUGUGGGCCUAUUUCUGGGCUCCCUAUUCUAUUCUAUGUAUCCAUUUGUCUUUUCUUUUGCUAAUACCACACUGUCUCAAUUUCUGUAGCUUUAUACUAAAUCUUGGAGUCAGGUAUUGCUGGUCCUUCAACUUUGUUUUUCUUCAAUAUUGUGUUAGCUAUUCUGGGUCUUUUGCCUAUCCGUUCAAACUUUAGAAUCAGUUUCUCUACAUUCACCAAACAAAUUGCUGGGUUUUUGAUUGGUAUUGUAUUGAAUCUAUAGGUCAAUUUGGAAAGACCUGACAUCUUGACAAUAUUGAGUCUUCCUAUCCAUGAACAUGGAAUAUCUCUCUAUUUAUUCUUUGAUUGCUUUCCUCAGAGCUUUGUAGUUUUUCUGUUAUAGUUCUUAUGUAUAUUUUGUUUGAUUUGUAGCUAAGUAUUUCAUUUUUGGGGUGCUAAUGGGAAUAGUAUUUUUUUAAAUUUCAAAUUCUACUUAUUCAUUGCUGGUAUAUAGGAAAGCAACUGACUUUUAUAUAUUAACCUCGUAUCCUGCAAUCUUGCUAUAAUCGCUUAUUAGUUCCAGGAGAUUUUUGGUUGAUUCUUUCAAAUCUACAUAGAUGACCAUGCCAUCUGCAAACAAGGACAGUUUAAUUUCUUCCUUCACUGAUAAUAUAAGUUUUAUUUCCUUUUCUUGCCUUAUUGCAUUAGCUAUAACUUCCAGUACAAUAUUGAAAAGGAGUGGUGAGAGGGCUUCUAGUUUCUAGUCAUUAUGAUGUCAGCUCUAGUUCUUUUGUAGAUAUUCUUUGUCAAGUUGAGGAAAUUCCUCUCUAUUCCUAGUUUACUGAGAAUUUUUAUCAUGAAUGGGUGUUGAAGUUUGUCAGAUUUUCUGCACCCGAUGACAUGAUCAUGUGAUUUUUCUUCCUUAGCUUGUUGAUGUGAUGGAUUACAUUAAUUGACUUUUGAGGGUUGAACCAGCCUUGCAUACUUGGGAUAAGUUCUAGUCAAUCAUAGUAUAUUUCUUUUUAUACAUUAUUGGAUUCGAUUUGUUAAUAUUUUGUUGAGACUUGUGCAUCUAUGUUCAUGAGAGAUAGUGUUCUGUACUUUUCUUAUUUCUUUUUCUGGGUUCAAUAUUAGGGUAGUGUUGGCCUCCUAGAAUGAGUUAGGUAGUAUAUCUUCUGUGUCUAUCUUCUGAAAGAGACUUUAGAGAAUUGGUAUAAUUUCUCCCUUAAAUAGUAGGUAGAAUUCAUCAGUGAAGCAACCUAGGCCUGGUGCUUUCUGUUUUGGAAGGUUAUUAAUUGUUGAUUUAAUUUCUUUAAUAGAUAUUUGCCUAUUCAUAUUGUCUACUUCUUCUUGUAUGAAUUUCGGCAAACUUUGUCUUUCAAGGAGUUGGUCCAUUUCAUGUCUGUUAUCAAAUUUGGGGCAUAGAAUACUUCCUAGUAUUCCUUGAACGUCCUUUUAACGUCUAAGCGAUUUGUAACGAUGUCCCCUCUUUCAUUUCAGAUAUUACAAUUUGUGCCCUCUCUCUUUUUUUCCUCAGUUAGCCUGGCUAGAGGCUUACUGAUUUUUCCAAAGAACCAGCUUUCAGUUUCAUUGAUUUUUCUCUGUUGGUUUGUUUUCAGUUUCAUUGAUUUCUACUUUAAUUUUUAUUAUUUCUUUCAUUCUGCUUAUUUUGAGUUUAAUUUGUUCUUCUUUUUCAAGUUUCCUAAAGUAGAAACCUAGAUUACUGAUUUUAGAUCUUUCUUCUUUGCUUUAAAUAAAAAUUGUGUAUAUUUAAGGUAUACAACAUGAUGUUUUCAUAUACAUAUACAUAGUGAAAUGAUUACUACAGUGAAGCUAAUUAACAUUAAUUUCCUCACAGUUAUUGUUUGUUUGUUUUUGUCAUAAGAGCAACUGAAAUCUACUCUAUAAGCAAAUUUCCAGUAUACAAUAUGAUAUUAUUAACUAUUGUUAUCAUGCUGUACAUUUGAUCUCUAGAACUUUUUCAUCCCACAUAACUGCAACUUUGUACCUUUGACUAAUAUCUGUGUAUUUCCUCCACUUCCCCACUCCUGGUAACCACUGUUCUACUCUCUGCUUCUGUGAAAGUGACUUUUUUAGAUUCCACAUAUAAGUGAAAUCGUGCAGUAUUUUUCUUUCUAUGUCUAUCUUUUUUCACUUAGCAUAAUAUUCUCCAGGUUUACUUACAUUGUUGCAAAUGAAAGCAUCACCUUUUUUUAAGGCUUAAUAAUAUUCUACUGUAGAUAUACCACAAUUGCUUUGUUUAUUCAUCUGUCAACAGACGCUUAGGUCUUCUUUUCUUAUAUAUGCAUUUAAUGCUAUAAAUUUCCCUACAAGUACUGCUUUUGUUGCAUCCAUUUUUUUGGGUGGGGGGAACAGGAAACAUUUACAUAAAUAGACAAUUGAUUGAGAAUAUAUCUCAUUGAAUGAGAAGCAAGUAUAGACACAUGUUGGCAAAGUGUUAUAUGAGAAGUAUUGGGAUUGAUCAGAUCGUAUUCACUAAACUUUAAUAACAACCCAAAAGUGAUCUAGUCAGUUAUUUCUGUGACUAACAAGUAGAUAGACAGAUGUUAGUAUCAUUCAGGAUUUAUUUCUAGUGUCUUUGCAUUCAUAGAUAUUGACAUGUUAUAAUUCAAUGAAUGAAUAAAAUUCUGUUUUAGUUAUAUAAAAUAAGACAAAGCUCACAUCAAUGAAGACCAUGUCGUAGGUGGCACUGAUAAUUAUUAAUUUGAGUUUUCACUACUGAUGUUUAUAGAAAGAAAAAAUUCCUAGCCCACCCCAGUUUUUGCUAAGGUAUGUGUAGGUGAUGGCAUAUAACAGUAUUUCUGUUGUGAAUUACUGGCUGGUUUGCCAUUUCACCUUUGUAUAAUGAGCAUAUGGUCAAAUCAUUCCAUGAGUAAUUAAAUAAAUGAAUAAUCGAAUGAACAAAUGAACAUAUAAAAUGCAAUCAACCAUGAGUCAUCACUGAGAGCUUGAAAUUAGGAUGCAAAUGUACCCAAUUCUGUAAAAGUAGCAUUCAUUCAAAUGUUCUUUUAUUCUGUGAAAAGUUUUAAAAUAUAAAGAUAUUUUUGAUAGACAUUUUUCUUAUUCUUAUUCAGCAGUGGCUAUUACAUUGUUUAAAAGUAAAAGUAAAAUACUAUCCUAAUUAAACUAUUUAGUUUUACAUAAUUAGUAUACAUUAAAAAAUUAGGAUAAUUCUGCUUUUUCCUCCCCAGAAUGACCAUGGGACAGUGGACUUACUCAUUUUCUAAGUGGGUAAAGAACACAGAGACAAACGUAAGUCCCACUGCAAGUUCCCAUCCUUGGUUGGGAUGCUUUGUUCACUAGUGUUUAGCGUUAUUUGAAAAGAACCAAUGUCUGUAUACGAACUAAAAUUCCCCAAGUAUGGACCAGUGAUGGGAAUAUGUUAUGAAUCAAAAAUCGUGUUUAAUCUAAUUCGGCACAACUGAAAUGAUUAAAAAAGAUAGUAGUCGUUUCCUUCAUUUUCAGAACUAUUUAAUAUUACAUUUUACUUUCCUCCACCAACGACUUAAACGUUUUCACAUUGGUAUAGUCUUGGCUGAUAACCGUUUGUGUGGCAGCCCAUAAGAAAAUGGAAGAUGUUGGGUCUGAGAAGUGACUAAAAAUGGUGGUUUCCUCAGUUUUCAUUGACCCAUCUUCAGAACAUGGGCUUAAAAAUUAAAUAGACGACAGCCACAGAAGGACCAAUGGUGAAUGUGGAUUUGGUGUGAGGCAUGUUCUCUGAGGUCCAUUGUCAAAGGAGACUAGUCUAUUCAGUCUAUGGGGAAAGAGCCACUAAUGGGGAGAUCUUGUUUCUGGAAUUUUAUGAUUGUAUUGUUAUUCAUGGAUCAAUGAAUAAAUAAGUAAAUGAAGAUAUAAAGGAAGGAAAACAUGCCUGGACCAAUGAUGAGUACCAUGGGGUAUCUGAAACAGGAGCUUUGAUUAAACCCAUAUCAACUCUGAGGUCCAUUACAGAGAGACGUGGAGUUAUUCCCUCUGCGGGAAAUGAGCCCAUGGUACCCUGUGCUGGGGCUUUUGUGGUUCUUGGGGGUGGAUUGUGUUUUUAUUAUAAAAUUGGCCCACAAAUAAAUAAAAUGUAUCAAAGAAUGAGAAAAAGAAGACAAGUCAUGCACCUAUUAUUAAGGAAUGUAAUGAAACAUGGAUUACUAUUAAAAUGUGGCUGAGACUCUGACUUCCAUUAAGUUACUAGUAAAGGCUCUGACUGCUCUAAAAAGGAGUAUAUGGUCAUUUGUAGGUAACACUCUAGAGUUUUUGUUUUUUGGUGGUGGUGGGUUGCUGACCGAUUGUUUUAUUAAGGAAUGGAAAGACAUUUACUCAGUUGGUUGGUUAAAUAACCACAUAAUUGAGAGCUAGGCAGAGACCAAUGAUAACAGUGAUUUGUAUGACAACACUCAUAGUUAAUCCAGUCUUUUUUUUACCGAUUUUUAUUGAAACAAUAAGAAACGAGCUAGUCUCUUAUUCUUGCUGUCAAUGACUGUGUCCAGUGGAUAAGAUUACAGAUACCUGUGCCUUUGCAUAAGAGAAAGAAGGUAUAAUUUUGUAUUUCAAUCUAUUUUUCAAAAGUCAGCAAACCAUGGACCAGUUAGGAGCCAUGUUUUAAUAUGAGGAUAAUGGUUCAUCUUGUUUUCCAAUGACGGAUAUUCUAAGAAAAAUUCUAGUCUCUUCUAUAUUUUGAAAGGUGCAUCUGGACAUCUCCAAGUUGUAAUAAUUUGGUUCUGAGUUAGUGUUUAACCAUUAUAAAUUUUCAUUAGAAAAAUGUGGAUAUGGUAUUAUUAUUCCCUGAAUAAUAAAAUAAAUUAGUGAGUGAAUUUGUAAAUCUGUAACAAUUUGUAGAGCGUUGGUGAGAUUGUAUCAUGAAACAAAUGAAACAUGUCCAAUUCUGCACAAAUAAGUCCAGUAAAAAGAUGAUCUUGGCUCCUCCUUUCUGCACAGCAAGUGAAUUUGUUUAGUAGUAAAACUUCAGUAAGUAAAUAAAGAGUGCCCUUCUUGGGAAGAUGAUGAGAAUGUGUUAUGAAGUAGGGUUCAUGAUUAAUCUAGUCCUCCUGACAAAUUUCAACUUAAAAACCUAACUCUAUGUUCCUUGUUUUUAAAAAUAGGCCUUUUGUUUUUCUUUAUAGAAGAACAAGACAGAGCUGAUCUAAUCAUCCUGUAACUGUGUAGGCCCUGGCUCUUACUUCUGGGACCAAGGAGCAUGAACACUGAUAGUGAACAUAAGACAGCCGAUUUCAUCAUUUAAUAAAGAAUUGUUAUCGUGAGCAAGGAGCAUAAAGACAAAUAUAAAGUGAAUGCACUCUACCAGAUUUGGUUGUCAUCUCGUGGUGAAGAUCUUGCCUUUUACCUCUUUGGGUAAAAAGAGGUCAAUUCAUUGUCCAUUGAUGGGGAUCUUGACUGUUACUUCUGUGAGUAAGGAACAAUGUAAGUAGCAAAGGUUCUCUUCUUGGUUUGUAUGGUUUGUUCACAUGAGCUCACUGAGGUAGUUCAAUAGAACAACAUCCAAUAACACCAACUAUGGACCAAUAGUGGGAAUGUGUUAUGGGCCAAGGAGUAGAAUUAACCCAUGUUAGCACAAAUGAGAUUCAUUUCUUAAAUUGAUGGAAGGCAUUUAAUUAAUUUUCAUAACCGUUUGCUAUUUCAUAUUAUUUCUGCACCACAGUUGAUUUAAGCAUUUCCAUAUUGGUAGAGAGCCAGGCUGUUUGCUAUUUAGAGGAAGCCCUUGGAAGGUGGAACAUAUUGUCUGUGUUCUAGAAGCGGGGUACCAUUGUGGUUUUUGGUUGUUUAUUAUACCAUGUUUAAAAUUGGAUAAAUUAAAUGAACAUGGCCCAAUCAUGGAUCGUUUUUAGGGAGGGCACUGUUAUGAAACCAGGUUUACACUGAGAUCUAGUGUAAAAGUUCUGGGAGAAAUCAGUCUAGAGACAGAUCAUAGUUAAAUCAAGGACCUUGUUCUCGGGAGUUUGUGAUUCAUGCGAAAGUGAAGAUAGAAAUGCAUGAAGAAGAGGAGUGCCAGGCCUGGACCAAUGAUGAGAUUGGAGGGUGUCUGAAUCAAAACUUUUGAUUAAAGCCAUCUGGAACUCUGAGGUCCAUUAUUAAAAAGUGUCCUCCUUUCUUCCUCUACGGAAAUGAGCUUAUCACAGAAGUUCAGAACUUUCAGGCAUCUUGACCUUGGGCAUACACAUUUCAUAAGUACGGAUUUAAUUUUUAUAAGUAAAUCAAGGCAUGAGUGAAUGAAGAAAUGUCAAAAUGGGUAAAUAUAAGGAAAGUUGUACAUUGGCCAAUGAUGAGGCAUGGGUUAUUAUUAAACAUUUCUGUAGCACUGAAUUCCAGUGAAAUAUAUUCAUAUAUCUCUUUUGGAAGGAGUGUAUAGACAGAUAUAUAUAAGACUCAAUUUUAUUGUUUGAUGUAGGUGGUUAUUUGCUGGUUGGUUGUUUUAGAGAAGGGAAAAUUAUGUAAAUAAAUAAUUUAUUAAGUAGUUAUUUAAUUGGAAAAAGAAUGAGCAUAGUUCAACUUGAGAAUAUGCCUUAUGAAAAGACUUAUUAUUAAUCUCCCUCUGUUCACUGCGUUUUAUUAAAAACAAGGAAAAGCAUUUGGUUUUUGAAUCUCUGUGGGCAAUGUAAUAGACAUAUCGAGACAGAGCAAUAUUAUUCGAGUUUCCUAAGGUUAGUUAAUUCCCAGUUAUUGAUAAAUUACUACGUGUGAAUAGAUUAUGUCCUAAUCACAGUCAGUAGUUAAAAACGGGACAAAACAUGGCCCUGUAAGAAGCAAGAAUAAUGAUUAAUCUUUGUCUGUACUACUGAUCCUCUCUUCCUAGUUUAGGUUUGGGCAUUUACACACACAAGGGGCAUUUCUAUUCUAGGUUGUUCAUGGCUUUACCAUUGUGUAUGUUUGUGUGUUAGUAUAUUUGAAUAUAUGAUCAAAUAUUCCAUGAGUCAUUUCAUAGACGAAUAAACAAAACAAUGAACGAUUGAGUUAACAUAUAAAUAGGGUCAAGCGUAGAUCUUGGUGAGGAUGUGCCAUGAAUGACAAAUUUAAAUUCACCCAUUUCUAUACGAAUUGAGUCCAUUAAAAAAAAGAGUAUUUAGGCUCUUGCCUACACGGGCAGGACUGUGUGGACAGAUAUGUAGAAUAUCAUAGUCCUUAUUUUUGAAUGAUGAACGUGGCAGUGUUCAUUGUUACUUAAAAUUAGCAGUCACAUCAGGAAAUAAAGGGGGCUGUUCUUGGGUCAGUGAUGAAAGUGAGACUUGAAUCAACUUCAUGAUUAACCUAAUACCACACAACUAAUGUCCUUUAAAUCAAGCUAAACCUGGACUCUUCCUUCUUCUAAAUGUUGGCAUUGGACUCCACAGAAGGAAGCCCAUGGCUGAUUCAGUCAGGCUCUGCUGCUGAAGAUCUCACCUGUUACCUUUGUGGGUAUGGAAUCUGAUGACUAAUGUAGAUAAUAGUCAGAAGAUCUUGUCAGUUGGGGUAAAUUUUUUAUUAGUGUUUAUUGAAUUAUUGAAAUUAAGCCAUACAUAGACUGAUGAUAUGAAUGUGUUACGAAACAAAGAUUACGGUUAAUCUGUUUUAAUAGAAUUUUGGUUUGAAUAAGAUGGAAGACAUUCUGUUCAUUUUCAAAGCUGAUAGUAAUCCACCUGUGUGUACUACAUUUGAUUUAAACGUUUAUCUAGUAAUAAAAUCUAGGGCUGCACUGUCCAAUGUGGUUGCCGCUAACCACAUGUGGCUAUUUAAAUUUAAAAUAAUUGAAAUUAAAUGAAUUUUCAAUUGGGUUCCUCAGUUGCACUAGCCACAUUUCAAGUACUUAGGAGCUACGGGUGGCUAAUGGUGACCGAAUUGUACAGUGCAGUUAUAACACAUUCACAUUAUCAGGCAAAGUUCUAUCUGAAAACUCCUCGUCGAUGGAGGAGUGCAUAGCAAGAUGGAAGAUAGUUGAAAUAGGGUGUGUAUGAAGCAAGAAUGUUCAUUGAUCCAUACAUACGUCAUUGAGGGCCACUGCAUAAAGAGAUCAAGUCUCUCGAGAAAAGAUCUAGUUUAUGGGAAGAGAGCCUAUAAACAGAUCUUGGUCAUAUUCAAGGAUCUUGUUCUUGGCUUUUUAUUUUUAUUCAUAGAUAUUGAUUUUAUUGCUGUUAGUGGAUCAAUGAAUGGAUCAAUAAACAAAGUGUAAAUGAAGAAAAAGAUUGCUUAGCCUGGAUCAAUGAUGAGUACCCUGGGGUGUCUGAAAUCAAGGAUUUUGAUUAAACCCUGUGACUCUGAGGUCCAUUACGGAAAGAUUCCUCUUGUUAUCUCUAUGGGAAGUGAGCUUAUUCUAGGAGUUAAAAAUAUUCAAAAGUUUGUUCUUGGGCUUCUGUGUAUUGUAUUUUCAGUAAAUCAAAGCAUGAAUAAAUUAAGAAAUGUAUAAAUGAAUGAAGACAAAAAGAAUUAUUCCUGAGCCAAAUAUGAGAGUAUGUAAUGUAAUAUAGGUAAUAUAAAAAUCAUUAUCAAUCCAUUUCUGAAGCACUGAGUUCUAGUAAAAGAAAUUGAUUAAAGCUGAGCCUUUGGGGUAAGGAGCGCUGAGAUAAACGGAUGUAAGAGCCCAUGUUGUUUUUCUGGGUUGGGUUGUUGGUUUUUUGUUUUAUUAAGAGAAGGGCAAAACGUUUAAUUAUUGAUUAAAUACAUAAUUAAGAGAGGGCUUACACCCUGGCCUAUGUUGAGAAUCUGUCACGUUACCAGUUAUGAUUAAUCCAAUCAUCUUCACUAUUUUUUAGUUUAAAAAAGAUAAGGAAAAAUCAUCUGAUCUUUUUCCUGCACCUAAUGAGCAUAUGGACAGGCAUUAAUAUUGUCUUGUUUCCGUGGAGUUGCAAAUAUUACAAAUAUAUAAAAGAUAAGUUAAUAUUUUAAUCAAUUAUUUGAAGGAAGGCAAAGCGUGGACCAGUGAGGAGCGCGUGUUAGGAAACAAGGCGAGCGAUGAAUGUAGUUCUACACAAUUGCUCUCCAGACAAAGAAAACAGACCUAGGCUCUUGUUGAGUGUGUUUACAUAGGAUUCCUCUUUCUGGCUUUUUGGUAAGAGUUUCUUUGAAAAAUGCAAGAUAAAUGACUCCAUGUCUAACCAAAUACAUACAUACAUAGAUAAAGGUGGGCAAACGCGGACCAUUGCUGCGGAUGUGCUCGAAUUUAGGACUCAGAUUAAUCUAAUUCUUUCCAAGCAAAGCUCAUUUAGAAAGAACAUAUGGCUCUUACUGGGCUCGGGAGGGGACAUAGAAACAGGCAUGUGCAAUAGUUCUUAUUCCUUUGUCUGGUGUUGGUUUCAAAAGUGUUCAUUAUAUCAGUUAAAUUUAAUAGUCAAAUCAAUUGUUCAAUCAAUAAGUAUGUCUUUCAGAGUUUUAAUAUGCAGCAAGCACUAAGGUUUAUUCCUAAUCAAUUAUUGUUGCCUUGAACUCAAUUUGAAAAAAUCUAAAUCAAGGCUGUUCUAUCUAUUUACCUAGUCUAAUCUCAUCUACUAUUAUAUUUGCUUUAUACUCCAGAGAAUGGGCGCACCGUGAUUCAGUUAAGGAGUGUAGAAUCUUAUGGUGGGCAGUCGAGCUGAUUGAAGCAUCUUCCGUGAUCGGAAGCUCCAUAUGUAGGAGAAUGGAGAUGAGUAAUGGGUGCACUGGAGGUGGUUUAAGGAUUCUUCUGUGGUGACAAGAUGUCUGGUUGUCUCUCUGUGUUUGGCACAUAGAAACAAAUAAUGAACACAUCGAAGCUGAUUUAAGAAUUAUGCCUUGGUCAACAAUCUCUAUAUUUGUCUGUAGGAGCAUGGAAACCAACGUGAGUAAUAGUCAGUGUUCUCAUCUUACUUUGGGUGGUUUGUUUAGGAUAUUCUCUGUAAUAUUUUUAAAAAGUACUCAAUAUAAGAUAAAAGACCACCCAUGGUCCAGUGAUUAAAAUGGAAAUAUAUGAAACAUUAUGUUGAUUAAUCUAUCUUUACAACAGUGAGGAUGAUCAAUGAAAGAGAUUAGGCAAUGAUUCUAAAGAAAAAUGAUAAAGACACUGAAGGCUCUUGUCCUUGAGUUUUGUGAUUCAUAGAUAUUUAUUUAAUUACUAUUAGUCAAUUGAUGAAUUAAUCAUUGAACAAAUGUAGAUAGGAAUGGAGAAAAAGAGGCCCAGAUCUGGACCAAUGAUGGUGACUGGUGGCGUACGAGUCAUGAACGAUGAAUGCUACGUGUCUGGAAGUCUGAGGUCCAAGAUAAAACAAAAUCUAGUGUUUCUUCUCUCACAAGUGACCCCAUGGAUCCAUGCUAGGAAUAUUCAAGGAUAUUGUUCUUGUAAUCUUGGAUUCAUAGAUUUCUAUAUUAUUAAUAUAAAUGGAUCAAUGGUAGAACCAAUAAAUAUAUAAAUUAAAAAAACAAAGAUGAAGCCUUGUCUGCCUAUGAAUAUGUGUGGUGAGGCAAGAUAUAUUAUUAAUAUAAGCUGAUGCAUGUUAAGAAAUAAAUGGACCAACGGUGUUACCUCUUUUUCUAAGGAUCAUAUCAUACUUAUAUUUAUGCUUAUAUAUGUAUCUAAAUUAUGAAAAAUAAUAAAUACCUUUAUGACUGAUUAAACAAAAUGAGCAAAACAAGGACCAAUUUAGAAGACGGUCUCAAGUUUCCAUAUCAUCUGCUCUGCUCUGUACUCCUCAGAUGGAUGCUCUCGAGUGGGUUUAAGCAUCUUCUAUGAUCACAUGCUCGACAGUUGCCUCUGUGUAAUGAGUAUAGAGACCAGUGUAAGUAAUAAAGUUCAUGCCUUUGUUUCAGAGGUUUCUUUCCCCCGGUAUUCACUGUAUUGUUAAAAGUGUGAAAUAUAAUCCAAGACACAAACUAUCAUGAAUGCUAACUAUGAGUUUGGUCUGCAGUGUUAUAUUUAUUAAUCCAUACAUGAAACAUUGAUGGUAAUGAAAGACAUAGCAAUGUGCAAAUGAUACUAUAGGCAGAUGCAGAAUAUUGCUUUUAUUCUUGGGGUUUUGUGAAUCAGUGAGUUUUAAAAAUUAAUGUUAGUGAAUUAGUGAAUUAAUGAGUAAACUUAUGCAGAUGAGAGUGAAGAAAAAGAGGCCCACAUAUGGACCAAUGAUGACGACUGGUGCGUAUGAGUCAUGGAUGAUGAAUAUUACGUGUCUGAAACUCUGAGGUCCAACAAAAAAGAAAUAUAAUUUAUUGCCUCUGUUUGACAUGAUAUUAUAGACAUAUAUUACGAAAAUAAAAAAUAUAGAAAAUAAAAACCAAUUUUCUUGGUUUGUGUUUCUGAAGUUUGAUUUUACUGUAAAAAAAUGGCCCAAAGAAACCAUCACUGUAAAAGCAUAAAUAGUUAAAAGUUAAGUGUAGAAGUAUAAAUAGCGUAAAAGGUAAUGAAGGGGGUGGAGCACGUCCACUCUUAAUGUAUGUGCUGAGGUGAUGAAACAAUGAACAUUUACUGAGAAUGCUGAAGUUCGCUAAGAAAUGUAAAUGGUUCACGUGUCUUACCUCUUCAGCUAAGUAUGAUAUAGGCAAUGAAUAAUGGUUUAAGUUCUUGUUCUGAGUUAGUGUUAGGUUCACUAUUGUUCAAUUUUUUAAGAUAAAAGUAAUGAAUAUGUCCCCAAUUUGCUAUAUUCAUAAAUAACUUACUAAAUGAAGGUGGAAUGUAUGCAUCAGUAGAGAAUAUCUCAAUCUUGUCAUUAUCUGUUCUGCUUUGUACUCCUCAGAAUAGACACCUGAACUUAUUUAAGCGUUUGGCCAUGAUCAGGAGCUCCAUCGAUGCCCCCGUGCACGAGCGUGGAGACCAAUAAUGGAGGCGAGAGCUUCUGUCACGAUCAAGAUCUUCGUGUUGCCUCUGUUGGAAAGAGACCAAGGUGAGUAAUACAGUCAUGUGUCACAUAACCAUUUUUCAGUCAACAACUGACCACAUAUAUGAGAGUGGUCCUGUAAGAUUAAUACCACGUAGCCUAGGUGUGUAGUAGGCUAUUCCAUCUAGGUUUGUGUAAGUUCACCUAUGAUGUUUACACCAGGACAAAACUGCUUAAUGAUGCAUUUCUCAGAAUGUAUCCCCAUUGUUAAGUGACACCUGACUGUAGUCAAAGUUUUUGUCUUAGAUUGGGUUAUUUGUUUAAAGGUAUUCAUUGAAUUAUUGAAACAUAUUAAAGAUAAUAAAAAAGUUAACUAUGGUCCAAUGAUAAAUAUGAUAUGAAGCAUGUUGAUGAAUAAAUACUGUGCAACGUUGAGGUCAAUUAAUGAAAGAGAAUCAGUCCGUAUGGGAAAUGAUUCUAUAGAGAAAUGUUAGGGAUAUUCAAAGAUCUUUUUCUUGAAUUUUGUGAAUUAUAUGUUCAUUUUAUUAUUAUUAAUUAAUUAAUGAUUUAUUUGAUACAAAUAAAGAAAUGAAUGAAGAAGAAGAGACCCAAACCUGAACCAAUGAUGAUGACAAGUGGCAUAUGGGUCAUGGAUGGUGAAUAAGAUGUGCCUGGAACUCUGAGGUCCAACACAAAACAUAAUUAACCACAUCCCUCUUUUGGAAAGCGUCCUGUAGAUAGAUAUUAGAAAUAUACAAAAAUCAUGUUCUUAACCUGUAUUCAUUGAUUUAGAUUUGUUAUUAUUAAUGGAUCAAUGAAAACCAUUAAAGAAAUAUAAAUAAAUAGAUAAGAACACAGUGAAGUAUUGUCCAAGUGUGAAUAUAUGUGGUGAGGCAAGAAUUAUUAUUGUUAAAAAUUGAAACAGUGAUACUCCUUAAGAACUAAAGGGAUUGGGGCUGGACGUGUGGCCUAGUGGUUAAGUUUGUGCUCUCCACUCGGCGGCCCAGGUUUGUGGGUUCGGACCCUGGUCACAGACCUACACCACUUGUCAGUGAUGUGGUGGUGACCCACAUACAAAAUAGAGGAAGGUUGGCAUAGAUGUUAGCUCAGGGACAAUCUUCCUCAAGCAAAAAGAGGAGGAUUGGCAAUGGAUGUUACUGCAGGGCAAAUCUUACUCAGCAAAAGAAAAGAAAGAAAGAAAGAAAGAAAUGGAUUAAGAGUACCACCUCUUUGACUAAGGAUCACAUAGACUGUGAUAAAUAAGAGUAAAUUUUAUUUUCUAGAUCAGUCUCAAAUUUGAGGUUGCUCUUUUCAUUAAGAGAAAAGAAUCUAUGUUAUGAAAAAUAAAUACCUAAAUAACUGAAUAAAUGAAAUAUAGAAAAGAAGGAUCCGUUCAGAUGAGGCCUCAGUGUUUUUUUCAUCAUCUGUUCUGCUUUAUGUCCUCCGAAGGGACAUACUGGAGCUGAUGGAAGAAUUCUUUCACUGCUGCACCCUCUUUGUUGGCUCUGUGUGUUAGGUGCAUGGAGCACAACGUGAGUAAUAAAGAUCGUGUCUUCAUUUGACAGGUUUUUUAAUAAGGGCACUUGCUGUAUUAUUAAAAGUGUGAAUAUUAUUCAAAAGGCCAACCAUGGCCAAUGAUACAUAUGGGAUUAUUACCAAGUGUUAUAUUUAUUAAUCCAUCUAAGAUAGAUUAAGGAUAAUUAAUGAAAGAGAUAUAUCAAUGUGAUAAAUGAUUUUCUAGGCAGAUGUAGAAUAUUCAAGGUUCUUAUUCUUCAUUUUUUUGUGUGAAUUAUAGGGUUUUAAAAUUAAUAUUAGUAAAUUAAGGAAUUAAUCAGUGAAAUAAUAUAUAAGAGAAUGGAGAAAAAGAGGCGAAAAUAUGGACCUACGGCUGGUGGUGUAGGAGUCACGGAUGAUGAAUACUAUGUUUUGAACUCUGAGGUCUGACACAAAAAGAAGUGUAGUUUAUUGCCUCUGUUUGAAGUGACCCCAUAGACUGAUUUUGGGAAUGUAAAAGGAUCGUUUUCUUAGCUGGUCUUCAUGGAUUUUGAUUCUCUUGUCAUAAAUGAUCGAUUUAAGAAUCAGUGUACAAAUAUAAAAAAGUACAGGUGAAGAGCAUGCAGCAUAUGCACUCUUCAUAUAUGUGGUGAGGCAAUGAGACAAUUAAAAUGUGCUGAAAAUACUGAACAGUGGAGAUGAUGCCUCAAUCCUCUUAUCCUCUGCUUUGCCUUUUACGUCUUAGAAAGAAAACACCUGAAAUGGUUUAAGCAUCUGCCCUGUUCAGGAGCCCCAAAGUAGCCUCUCUCUGUAGGAACAUUUAGUCCAGUGUGAGUAACCAUCAAAGUUCUUGUGUUGGUUUGGGUGGUUUGUUUAGGGUAUCACUGUAAUAAUUUAAAAAGUAUUAAAUAUAAGAAGAAAGGCCCACCAUGGUCCAGUGAUUAAAUUGGAAAUGCAUGAAACAUUAUGUUGAUCGAUCUAUCUUUACAGCAGUAAACAUGAUUAAUGAAAGACGGGUAUUCAGUUAGACAUUGGUUCUAGAGAAAGCUGAUAGGGAUACCGAAGGCUCUUGUCCUUGCGUUUUUGUGAUUCAUAGAUUUAUUUAAUUAUUAUUGUUAGAUUGAUGAAUUAAUAUAUAAACAAAUGUAGAGGUGAAUGAAGAAAAAGAGGCCCAAACUGGGACCAAUGAUGAUGACUGGUGGCGGACGAGUCGUGUACGAUGAAUGCUACGUGUCUGGAAGUCUGAGGUCCAAGAGAAAGCAAAAUCUGGUCUGUUUCCUCUCUUGCAAAUGAUCCUAUGGAUCGAUGUUAGGAACGUACAAGGAUGUUGUUCUUGUAAUUUCGGAUUCAUGGAUUUCUAUAUUAUCAAUAUAAAUGAAUCAAUGAUAGAACCAAUAAACAAAUAUAGAGAUAAAGAAAAAUAAAAAUGAAGUCAUGUCCAUCAAUGAAGAUAUGUGGUGAGGCAAGAUACACUAUUAAUAUGAGCUGAAGAAAUUGAUGGAUGUUAAGAAGUAAAUGGACCGGUGGUGUUACCUGUUUCUCUAAAGAUCAUUUAAAGACCCACACUGAUAAGUAAUAUUUAGUUUUAUAAGCCUGGGCCGGUCUCGAGUUGGGGAUGUUAAUUUUGUAAUAUGUAUGUUUAUAUUUUCUUAUGUAUAUAUGUUCUGAAAAAUUAACAAAUACCCAAAUAACUGGAAAAAUGAAAUGAGGAAAACAAGGACUCAUGGAGAAAAGAUUUUGAUUUUUAAUUACUUGCUCUGUCUUAUACUCCUCAGAAUGGACACACUCAAGAUGAUUUAACUAUUUUUAUGGUCCCGAGAUCUGUGGUUUCCUCUGUGUGUUAAGAGCGUAGAGACUAAUAACGAGCUGAUUUAAGCAUCUUUUGUGGUCCCCAGCUCUGUGGUUGCAUCCGUGUGUUAGGAGCAUAGAGACCAAUAAUGGACAUGCUCCAGCUGAUUUAAGGAUUCUUCCAUGCUCACACGUUCUAUGGAUGCAUCUGUGUGUUACAGUGUGGGGAACAAUGUUCUGCCGAUGCUGCCUGUUGGGAAACAACGUUUUGAGAAUCGCUGAUAAUAGGCAGAUCUAUGUGACGUUAGUUAAUGUCUUUGCUCUGCAUCAGUGAAUGGAUGUACCUGAACUGAUUGAAGCAUUCUGAAAAGACCAAGAGCUCUAGGCCGCCGCUGUGUUUAGGAAUGUAUAUUUAAAGUUUUCCCUGAACAUUCCUUAAUUGAUAAAGAUAUAAGCUAUUUUCAUGAUGAGGAAAAAGCACUUAGGAGAUGGGGCGUGCUCACUGCUAAUCCAGCUUCUACCGUGAUCUCAGGAUCAGAAGCUUCUGGUUGCCACUAUGUGUGGGGACCCGUGUGAGUAAUAGAUUUCUUGUCAAGGUUUGGGUGGUUUGCCUAAGGGUAUUCACUGUGUAAAGACCUAUGAAAUAUAAUCACAGAAGGCCAGUCAUAGCGUAAUAAUGAAGCCAGUGUUGAUGUGAGGCAUGCUGUUGGUUAAUUGAUUUACUAAAUAUUGAGGUCAAAUAGAGAAAGAGAUCUAGUCUCUGUGAGAAAUAAUUCUAUAGACAGAUGUUAGGAAUUUUCAGGAAACUUCUUCAUGGGUUUUUGUGAUUCCUGUGAAUUUAUUUUAUUAUUAUUUGUGAAUUGUUGAAUUAAUAGAGAAGAUGAAGAAUAAAAGGGAAAACCUGGACCAGUGGUGAUGGCCGGUGCAUGUGAGUCAUACACAGUGAGUAGUGCAUGUCUGAAACUCAGAAGUCCAACACGAAAGGAAUCUAGCACAUUCACCCUGUUUGAAGUGUUCCUGUAGGCAUACGUCAGGAAUAUACAAGGAUAUUUUUGUUGGAUUUCUGGCCAUGGAUUUUUAAAAAUACUGUUAUAAAAGAAUCAAUGGCAGAAUAAAUGAACAAAUAUAUAAAUGAAUAAAGAAGGAGGUGAAGCAUUGUUUAUUGUCAAAAUAUGUAAUAGGUAAAAAUAAUAUUAACAAAUUGGAAUGAAAAACAAAAGGACCAAGUGUAUGACAUCUUUCACUAAAUCUUGAUAUAGACAGUAAUAAGUAAUGGUUGUAAGUUUGAUGUUUGAUUUAUUAAGAGAAAAAUAAAUAAAUAUUACUAGAAAUAAAUAAAUCCCUGACUAUGUAUAUGAAUGGUGGGAAGUAUGGAUCAAUGGAGAGCAUUUCUCAACCUUUUUGUUACCUUCUCUGCUUGCUACCUUUCAGGACAGGUGUUGGAGCUGAUUUUAGCUUCUGCCAUGAUCAAGAUUGUCAUGUUGCCUGUGUGUUAGGAAAAAGAUUAAGAAUGGACACACUUGAGGUGACUUAAGCAUCUUCCACGAUCUUGAGCUCUGUGGUCGCAUCAUGCAUUAGGAAUGUGGAACCGAUAAUGGAUGCCCUUGAGCUGAUUUAAGCAUCUUCCAUGGUCAGGAGUUCUGUGGUUGCACCUGUGUGUUAGGAGCAUGGAAAACAAUAAUGGAUAUAUUCCAGCUGAUUUAAGCGUCCUCCCUGGUCAGGAGCUCUGUCGUUGCAUCUCUGUUUGAGCAGCAAGGAGACCAACACUGGGUGCCGUCAAGGUGAUUUAAGGAUUCGUCUGUGGUCACAAGGUCUCGUUGCAUUCGUGUGUUAGGAGACCAUAAUGGUCGCAUUCAAGCUGAUUUGAGCACUCCGCCCUGGUCAGGAGCUUUCUGGUUGCAUCUAUGCAUUAAGCUCAUGGAGAGCAAUCAUAAACGUACGAGAGAUGAUUUAGCAUCUUCCGUGGACGUGAGCUAUGUGGUUGCCUCUCUAUAAUAGGAGGAUGGAGAUUAAUAACCGCCACCCUGGACCGGAUUUAAGGACUCUUGAUCACCAGCUCUAGGUGCAUCUGUUUUUUAGGAGCCUGGAGACCUGUAAUAGAAGCUGAAAGAUUUCAUUGUGAUCUAUUGUGAUCAAGCUUGUCAUGUUCCUUUAUUGUAGGAAAGAGACCAAGGUGAGUCAUGGUUAAAGUUCUUCUCUUGGUUUGGGUCAUUAGUUUAAGGGUUUUCAUGGUAUUGUUAACAAGUAAUCAACAUUGUCAAAAAAUUAACUAUGGCCCAAUGAUAAAUAUGAUAUGAAACAUUAUGUUGAUUAGUUGAUAAUAUGUAGCUUCGAUAUUUAUAAAUGAAAGAGAUAUAAUCUAUUUUGGCAAUGAUUCUAUAGAGGAAAGUUAGGGAUACUCAGUUAUCUUUGUUUUUUGUUAAUUGUAUAUUUUAUCAUCAUCAGUGAAGUAAUAAUUUAAUUGCUACAAAUAUAUAAAUGAAUGACCUAAAAGUGGACCUCUCAUGAACCCACCAUGACGCCUGGUGGCAGAUGUCAUAGGUGAUGAACAUGUGUCUGGAACCCUGAGGUCCAACACAAUACAUACUGUAUUUUCUCUGUUUAUUUGAUUCUGUUGACAUAUGUUAGGAAUGUAUAAAGAUCAUGUUCUUAUUUUGGGUUAAUAGAUUUGUAUUUUUUAUUAUUACUAGAAUAAUGAUAGAAACAUUGAAUAAAUAGAAAUAAUAGAUUAAGAAGAAAAGGGGAGUUCUUGUCUAACUAUGAACAUACAUGGUGAGGCAAGAAAUAUUAAUGAAAACUGCGAACACUGGUGCCCAUUAAGUAAUAAGUGGAUCAAGGGUGUCACCUCUUUGGCCAAGGAUCAUACAGACAUGAAUAACUGAGAGUCACUUUUAUUGUUCUGGGUCAGUCUUAAGUUUGAAGUUGAUCUUUUUGUUAAGAGGAAAAACUUACGUUAUGAAAAAUUUAUGAACUCCUGAAUGACUAAGUAAAUGAAAUUUGGAAAGGAAGAAUCAAUGGGGAUAAAAGUUUGGGGUUUUUCUGUCAUUGAUUGUGCUUUGUACUUCCCAAAAUGGACACAUUUGAGCUGAUGGAGCCUUAGCCCAUGGUGGCAAGCUGUAUGAUUGCACCUCUCCGCCGGAAGCUCAGAGAUCAAGGUGAGUAAUAGUCCAAAUUCUUGUCUUGGUUUUAGUGAUUUUUUUUUUCAGUGUAUUCAGUGUAUUAUUCAAAAGUUCCAUAUAGAGUCAUAGAAGACCAACUGUAGCUCAGUGAUAAAUACUGAAUUUUAUGAAACAUUAUAUUGAUUAAUGCAUAAAUGAAAAACAGCCUAAAUUUUAAAAAGUGAUAUGUUAAAGUGAGAAUGAUUCUAUAUACAGCUUAGAGAUGUCAUGACUCUUUUUGUUUUUGUGUGAAUAAUAGAGUUUUGAAAUUAUCGUUAGUGAAUUAAUGAAUUAGUCAAUAAACAACGUAGACGCGAAUGCAGAAAAGGAAGGACCGUAUUGGGCCACUGGCGACUACUGGCGGCAGUGAGUUGUGUAUGAUGAGCGCGUGUCUGGCACUCUGUGGUCCACGGAAGUGGGAUCUGCUCCAUUGUCCUAUUUGAAGUGACUCUAUAGACAGAGGUCGGGAAUAUACAAAAUCUUAUUUUUGGUUAUUUUUUUUUCAUUUAUUUAUUUUCGGAUGUACAUCAUAAUAUAUUUCGAAUUCUGUGUAGCUUACAUCAUGUUCACCACCUGUUAUUUUUGGUCUUUAUGUUCCUGCAUGUUCUACUUUUAUAUAAUUGGAUUGAUAAAAUACUCAAUGAACACAAAUAAACAAACAUGAAAGCAGUGAAUUAUAUUGUCCAAUUAUAAAAAUAUGUGGUUAGGCAAGGAAUAGUAUUAAUAUAUAUUUAAAUCACUGAUAAUGUGCAAGAUUGAGGACUAUUAAUGGUAGAGAUAUAGUCUAUUUGGGAAAUUAUUCUGUAGACUGAUAUUAGAAAUAUUCAAAGAUCUUGUUCUUUUUCAAAAAAUUUAGUUUAUUUUUAUUGAUAUGCAAUGACAUAUUAUAUUAGUUUCAGGUGUACAGCAUAAUGAUUUGAUAUAUGUAUAUAUAGCCUAAUGAUCACCACAAUAAGUCUAGUAAAAUCUGUCACCAUACAUCGUUACAAACAUUUAUUUUCUUGUGAUGAGAACUUUUAAGAUUUACUCUUUUCUGAACUUUCAAAUAUGCAAUACAGUAUUAUUAACUAUACUUCCCAUGCUGUGCGUUAUUUCCCUGUGACUUAUUUAUUUUCUAACUGGAAGUUUGUACCUUUUGAUCCCUUCAACCAUUUUGCCCACCCCCAAGCCCCAGCUCUGUUCUCUGUAUCUAUGAACUCUGUGUUUUCUUUCUUUCUUUUUUAGAUUCCGCACAUACGUGAGAGCAUACAGUCUCACUUAAGUCUGUGUGACUGACUUCACUUAGCAUAAGGCCCUCAAGGUCCAUCUGUGUUGUCUCAAAUGGCAGGAUUUCCUUCUUUUUUAUGGCUGAAUAAUAUUCCAUUGUACAAAUAUACCACUUCUUUAUUCAUCCAUCAGUGGACACUUGUUAUUUCCAUAUCUUGGCUAUUGUAAGUAAUGCUGCAAUGAACAUGGGGGUGCGUAUUUUUUUGAGUUAGUGUUUUCAUUUUUUCAGACAAAUACCCAGAAGUGGAAUUGCUGGAUCACAUGGUAGUUGUAUUUUUAAUUUUUGGAGGAACCUCCAUACUAUUUUCCAUAGUGGCUGCACCAAAUUGUAUUCCAACCAACAGUGCACAAGGCUCCCCUUUUCUCCGCAUCCUUGCCAAUGCUUCUUGCUUUUUGUCUUUUUGGUAAUAGCAGUUCCGACAGGUUUAGGUGAUGUCCCAUUGCGGUUUUGAUUUGUAUUUCCAUGAUUAUUAGUGAUGUUGAGCACCUUUUCAUGUACCUGUUCGCCAUCUCUAUGUCUUCUGUUCUUGAGUUUUUGUGAACUAUGUAUUUUUAAAAUUAUUAUCAAUGAGCUAAUGAUUUGAUUAAUACAAAUGUAGAAAUUAACAAAGAAAAGGAGUGUCAAAUGUGGAUCGGCGAUGAUGACUGAUGGUGUACGAGUCAGGGACAAUGAAAAUAUGUGUCUGAAACUCCGGGGUCCAGUGCAGAAUAUAACUAGUCUAUUCCUUCUGCUGGAAUUGUUUCUGUAGAGAGAUGUUAGGAAUGUAAAGAGGUCAUAUUCUUAUGUUGACAGAAUCAUUAACCAAAUAUAAAUACGUAUAUAAAAAAGAUGAUGGUGAAGCCUCAUCUGUCUAUUAACAUAUGUGAUGAGGAAAAUAUAUUAUUAAUACAAAUUUAAAACACUGAUGUCCAUUAAGAAAUAAGUAGAUCAAGAAAUCACCUCUUUGACCAAAGUCAGCUAAACACAGAUGAAUACAGAUUAUUUUAAUUAUCCUGCGUCAGUCUCAAGAUGGAAUUUUUUCCUUUUUAAGAUAAAAAUUAUAUAUUAAAAAAUAAUAACUAACUAAAUACUGAGUAAAUGAAACAUGGAAAGCAAGCAUCAGUGGAGAUUUGAUAUCCGUUUUAUCAUCUGCUCUUCUGUAUUCUCCUCAGAGCGAAAACGCUCAAGAUGAUGUGAGCAUCUUCCGUGGUCACAAACUCUAUAGUUGUGACUUUAUAAUAGGAGCCUGGAGAACAAUGUGAGUAAUAGUUGAAGUUCUUGCCUUGGUUUCAGUGUUUUGGUUGCUUUUAAGAUUAUUCACUGUAUUACUAAAAAGUAUGGAAUAUAAGCUAAGAAGGCAACUGUAUCUCAGUGUUAAAUAUGGGAUAUAUGAAACAUUCUAUUGGUUAAUGCACAUGUGGAAAACUGAAGGUUAAUUAAUGAAAGAUCCAUUGCUUGAGAAUAUCUGUCUUCAUUUUAAGGGCAUCAAGGCUCUUCUUGGUUUUUGUGAACAACAGGGUUUUAAAAUUGUUGGUGAAUUAAUGAUUUAAUCAGUAUACAAAUAGAAUGUAGUGAGAACAAAGAGGUAAUAUUGGAUCGGUGAUGACUACUGGUGGGGUACGAGUCAUAUAUGAUGAAUACGUGUCUGGAACUCUGAGGUCCAACAUAAAGUUAAUCUAGUCCAUUCCCCUUGUUUGCAGGUGAGAAAUAUACCAAGAUCUUGUUUUUGGUGUUAGUGUUCCUGCAUUUUCACCUAUUAUUAUAAUUGGAUAAAUGAGAGGAUCUACAACAUAUAAAUAAAAAAUACGAAGCAUUGUCCAAUUAUAAAAAUACGUGAUGAGGCAAGAAAUAGUAUUUAUAUAUUAUGAAAACCAUGAAGUUCAAUUAGAAACAAAUAGCAUAUGAUUGUUACCUGUAUGGUGGAGAAUGACGUAGACAGGAUAAGUUAUAGAAAAUGCUCCUAGUCUCAGUCACUGGUAAAAUCGAACUUCAUUUUCUUAAGGGAAAAAAGCAUAUACACCAAAUUAAUGAUUGCCUAAAUGACUGACUACAUGAGAGGUGAAAGGCAAGGAUCAAUGGAGAGAAUCUCUCAACCUUUUUUAUCAUCUGCUCUGCCCUCUACUCCUUAGAAUGGACACAUUGGACCUGACUUAAGGAUUCUUCCUUGAUCAUGAGCCCUAGGGUUGCAUCUCUGUUUUAGGAGUCUGGAGACCACUGCGAGUGAUAAUCAAAUCUCUUGUCUUGGUUUGGGUGGUUUUUUUAAAGGGUAUUCAUUGUAUUGAUAAAAAGUGUGAAAUAUACUCAAAGACAGUUAACUGUGUCCUAGUGAGAAAUAUGGGAUUAACAAGAAGCAUUGUAUUGCUUAAUGCUUAUAUGAAAAACUGGUAGUAAAUAUGACAGAUACAAUGAUGUGAGGAUGCUCCCAAAUACCUAUUAGAGCUACUAAGGCCUUCUUGGGUUUUUGUGAAUCACAGAGUUUUCAAAGUGUAAUUAGUGAAUUAAUGAAUUAAUCAAUAAACAAUAUAGAAUGAAUGAAGAGAGGCUGCCAGCAUAUGAGUCAUAGAUGAUAAAUAAUAUGUGUCUGGAACUCUGAGUUCCCACAGUAAAGAAAUGUGGUCCUUCUCUUUAUGCAUUUUCAUUCUUUAAUUGGAUCACUGAAACAGCAGUGAGGAAAUCUAUAAAAAAUAAAGUUGAAUUGUUGAAGCAUCGUCGAAUUUUUACAAUAUGUGGGGAGGCCAGAUAUGCUAUUAAUAUAAUUUGAAAACUCUGAAGUCCCAAGAGAAAUAAAUGGAAUAUGACUAUAACCUCUUUGGCUAGGAUGAGAUAGACAGGAUUAAUUGUAGAUGGUGUUUAUGUUCUGGGUCACUGGGAAGUUCAAAGUAGUUCUUAAAAGAGAGUGAAAUAAAUAUGCUCCAAUAAUGAUCGGCUGAAUGACUGACUAAAUGAACGAUGUAAAGGGAGGAUGGAGAGAAUGGAGAGACUAUCUCAACCUUUGCAUCACCAUUUCUGCUUGAUAUUCUUCAGAAUGGAGGUUCUAGUUGAUUUCAGGUUCUGCUCCGAUCAAGAUUGUUUGUUGCCUCCACGUUAGGAGAGAGACCAAGAAUGGACGCGGAAGCUGAUUUAGCAUCUCUCAGAUCCAGGCGCUCUAUGGUUGCAUCUGUGUAAUAGGAGGACGGAGAUUAAUAAGAGACACACUGCGCCUGUUUAAGGAUUCCUCCUUGUCGUGAGCCCUAGGGUUGCAUCUCUGUUUUAGGAGCCUGGAGACCAGUAAGGGACACACUGAAGCUGAUUGUAAUACUCUUCCAAGGGCGUGAGCUCUCUCAAUGCGUCUCUGUGCUAGGAGCAUGUGGACCAACAACAGAUGCUCGAGCUGAUUUCAUCUUCUAUCGUGAUCAAGAUUGUCAUGUUCCCUUUGUGUUAGGAAAGAUACUAAGAAUGGACACACUCAGGCUGAGUAAGCAGUAUUCCAUGGUGUGGAGUUUAUGAUUGCACCUUUGCGUUAGGAGCACAGAGACCAAUAGUGGGCGCCCUGGACCUGAUUUAAGGAUUCUUUCCGGAUCACAAGCCCUGGGGCUGCAUCCCAGUUCUAGGAGCCUAGAGAGCAAGAAUGGAUGACUUGAGCUGAUUCUAACGUUCUUCCAAGAUCGCCAGCUCUCUGAAUGCAUCUCUGUUGUAGGAGCAUGGAGACCACUAACAGAUAAUCAGGUUGAUUUCAUCUACUGCUGUGGUCAAGAUUGUUACGUUGGCAUCAUGUCAGUGAGUAAUAGUCAAAAACAGACGCACUUGUGCUGACUUAGCAUCUCUCAUGGUCACGAGCCUCUAUAUUACAGGAGAACGGAGAUUAAUUCCUCAGAACGGACGCAUUGGACCUGAUUUAAGAAUUCAUCCUUGAUCCUGAGACCUAGGAUUGCAUCUCUGUUACGGGAAUCUGGAGACCAAUAAUGGAACCACCUGAGGUGAAUUAAGCGUCUUCCAUGGUCACGAGCUCUCUGCUUUCGUCUCUGUUGUAGGAGCAUGGAGACCAUUUCGAGCUGAUUUGAGGAGUGUUCCAUGAUGGCAAGCGCUGUGACUGUAUCUCCAUGUUAGGAAGAAAAAGACGAGUAACGUUGCACACGGCUGAUGUGGGCGCUCCCCCAUGGUCCCAAGCUGUUUGCACCUGUGCGUUAAGAGCGUGGAGAACAAUAAUGGACUCUGGAACUGAUUUCAGCUUUUGCUGUCGUCAAGAUUGUCAUGCUGCCUCUGUGUAUGGAAGGAGAUCAAGCCCCCCAGUACAUAGUUGUAUAUUCUUCGAUGUGGGUCCUUCUAGUUGUGGCAUGUGGGACGCUGCCUCAGCGUGGUCUGAUGAGCAGCGCCAUGUCCGCGCCCAGGACUCGAACCAACGAAACACUGGGCCACCUGCAGCGGAGCGCGCGAACUUAACCACUCGGCCACGGGGCCAGCCCCCAAAGAUCACAUUCUUGUAUUAAUUUCAUGGGCGGAUAUUUGUUAUUAUUAGUGGAAUAAUAGAAGUAUUAAAUAUAUAAAGAAGAAUAGGGUGAAGCAUUGUUCACUUAAUGAAUGUAUGUUAUAAGGCAAAGGAAAUUAUUAAUAACAUUGAAAACAUUGAUGCCUAUUAAGAAAUUAAUGGAUCGAGAGGUCAUCUCUGUGCUAAGGAUCAUAUAGACACUGAUAAGGAAGAGUCAAUUUUUUUCCUGCGUCAAUUUUAAGACUGAGUUUUUCUUUUUGUUAGGAUAAAAAAGAGAUAUUAAUAAAAAGUAAUAAAUACCUAAAUACUGAGUUGAUGAAAUGCAGAAAGCAAGGAUCAAUGGUGAUUAGGUCUCAAUUGUUUUAUCAUCUCCUCUGCUCCGUACCCCUCGGAACGGACGCACUCAAGCUAAUUUAGCAUCUUCCAUGGCAGGAGCUCCACGGUUGCGUCUGUAUGACAGGAGGACAGAGAUUAAUAAUGGAUGCACUCAAGCUUCUUUAAGCAUGUUCCACGGUCAUGAUCUUUAUGUUUGCACCUGUGUGUUAGGAGCAUGGAGACCAAUGUGAGUAAUAGUCGAAGUUCUCAUGUUGGUUUGAGUGGUUCAAAGAAGGCCAAUCAUACCAAUGUUUAAUAUCAGAUUGAUAUGAAGCAUUGCAUUGAUUAACCCAUAAAGAAACAGACACUGAGUUCAGUUAAUGAAAAGGAUAGAGAUUCUUUGUAAAUGAUGCUAUUGGUGAAUAUUAGGGAUAUUGAAGGAUCUUGUUUUUUUUUUAUUUAUGUGUAUUUCUUCAUGAAUAAAUUAACCAAUAAGGAAAUGUAGAUGAGAAUGGACAGAAAGAAGGCCAAUCAGGGGCCAGUGAUGACGACUGGUGGUGAAGAAUGUCAGCGUGGAGCUCUGAGGGCCAACACAGACUGACUCUAGUCCAUUCCCCAGAUUUUAAAGGAUACUAUAGACAGAUUUCAGGAUUAUAUAGUGAUCUUUUUCUUGGUCUUUGUGUUCAUGAAUUUUAAAUAUAUGAUUAUAAAAGAACCAACGGCAGAAUAAAUUAGCAAAUGUAUAAAUGAAUAAAGAUGAAGAGGGUGAAGCGUUGUUCAUUACUGAAAUACGUAGUCAGGAGAAUGAAUAUUGAUAGACACUGGAAUGAUACUAAAGGGACCGGUGUGUUAAGUAUUGGACUAAGGAUGAUAUGGACAGUGAGAGGGAGUAGUCAGUUAUUGCCCUGACUCAGUUACAAGUUUUAAGUUUAUUUCGUAAAGAGAAAAACCGAUUUUAUCUUAAAUUUAUAAAUACUUAAAUGACUUUGUAAAUGGGGUAUGGAAAUUACAGAUCAAUGGAGAGAGCGUCUCAAUCUUUUUAACAUCUUUUCUGUCUGAUACUCUAAAAACAACGCAGCCAGCUGAUUUAAGCCUUGUUCCAUGAUCAAAAUCGUUACGUUGCCUCUGUUUCAGAAAGACACCAAGGUUAGUAAUAGUCAAGGUUCUUGUCUUGGUUUCAGUCAUUUGCUUAAGGUAUUCAUGGUAAUAUUAAAAAGUAUUAAGUAUAAUACACAAGUUAUCUAUGGCCAUUGGUUAAUACGGUAAGAAGCAUGAUAUUAAUUAAUUGAUAACGGGCAACAUUGAAGUCACUUAAUGAAAAAGAUACAGUGUAUUAGGAAAGAUUCCUAUCCAGGGGUGUUAGGGAUUUUCAAGGAUCUUGUUCUCGCAUUUUUGUGACUCAC